This 51783-nucleotide long non-coding RNA is filed under the name Hordeum vulgare. Its description in RNAcentral is "long non-coding RNA (HVUL_LNC001421)". Lineage: Eukaryota; Viridiplantae; Streptophyta; Magnoliopsida; Poales; Poaceae. The record is from RNAcentral.
GAUAAACCUCACUGACCUCCACAAAUUCUAUGUGCGCCCAUCUAGAUCCGCCCCUGUUAAUGUAUGCAUGGUCGAAUUGGGAUAAAUUUGAAGUACAUAGUUUUAUUAGAAGUAAGGCUAAGACGCCCUUCAGUUUCAAUCGAGCUAGGAAAUUACUGCUAGUGGUCUGGGAAAAUCCUUUUUGUUCCCGCUGUGUGGAAUUGUGUGUUGGAGCGAGAUUUUAUCGCAAAGCUGUAUGGGUUUAUUUUUAAACUAAGCAGGGGAUUUUUAUUUUAUUUUACUUAUGAGCUUUGAACUGUGACAUUUAGAUUUUGGCCGCGGUUGGGUCACUUCAGCUGCCUGUCCUUUACCAGAGCUGUUAGUGACAGCUUUAAAGCUGGAAUGGGUCACACUUUGUUAGAAGUUGCUUGGUACCUUCCAAUGAAAAGCUUUUGCAUUCAGAUUGCUCAAGUUAGGUAGACAGAGUUUUUCACCUUUUGUAUAUUUUUCAAUAACCAGCCUAUGCUGUACCUAACAUGAUGUCCACUUAGGUUGCUUUUUAGUCUUUUCCUUAGUGGCUACCCACAAUGGAAAGUAACAUAUAAUAGUAACAUGCAUAUGUUACUAGUCUAAGUUACUACCUCCAUAGUGGGUAGUAACAUAGAAAUGUUAACAUAGAGAUUUUCAUUUAUUAGCAUAUAGACUCAUCUUGUCUUGGUAUGUGUGAUGUUACUCAUAGUAUGAGUAACUAGCUAUGUUACUCAAUUUGUCCCUCUCCUCAUUAAUUUGCUGUCACAUCAUCUUUUUUGAUUAUGUGGCAUCUAUGUUACUACCUAUGUUACUCCCACUGUGGGUAGUCUUAGGAGCAUCCGCCAGCUGUUUGUAGCCUUGGCCUUUCCAGAUAUGCUGCAUGGCUUGCAGUAUUAUUUUUUAUGAAUCAUGGCACCUCAGGUAGGAUUAUAAAUGUCCAGGCUUCGUUGAUCAAACCAGGAGCAUGCAAAUGGUAUUUGAUGAUUUUUGCUCUUCAUGGUCUAGAUUAUAUUACCGAAAAAGGUUUUCGCCCCGCUUUAUAAAUAAAGCAAACCGCCAUAGCACAACAAACAGGUCCAACACACAAAGACGCACAAACGCACGCCCCACACACCCGCGUCCAUCACCCACAAACACAAACGCACAGAAGUAGCACAAGACAACACCAAAGGGUUUUGCUGAGGGCACAGCUCAACAAGUCUAGAUUAUAUUACCCAGUUCGUCACAUGCUUACCUGCAUCUACCCGGUUGUCUAUAAGUUAUUGUUUCCCAGUUGACUGUCUAGUGUCAGUAUGUUACUGUGCUGUAGGAAGGCACUACAUUGACUAACAUGCAAACCUGGUGAGUUGACUGUCUAGUGUCAGUAUGUUACUGUGCUGUAGGAAGGCACUACAUUGACUAACAUGCAAACCUGGUGGGUAUGCAAACCUGGUGGGUAUGCAAACCUGGUCGGUAUGCAAACCUGGUGGGUAUGCAAAUCAGGAGCAUGCUUAUUAUAUUGGACAUAAAUUCCAGAUGCUAAGUUAAAUAUUCUUAUGCAGCGUUCCAGUUUCAUUUAUAAAUAUUUAUAUAUCUGGCAUAGUUCAGGGAGGGUGGGGCAUAAUUUCUUUAGAUUUGUAUAUGUUGGUAUGUAACUGAUCAGCGACCAGUAGGUAGCUGGCCUAUGUACUUUUCUAGACUCCUAGUUUAUUGCACUUUGAUCAGUUGUUGCUAGUUAAUUCUUAUACUACAUACUAAGGCACACAUCUGAUCUAUUAUUGUUAAUUUGAUAUUCUGUUACAUGUAUUCUGCAGGCUCACAGUCAUAAGUGGCUUCGCAUGAGCUUUGUGGAGUGAUGCCUUUAUUGUUGUAGGCUUUUCCUAACAUGUAGCUUCAAUGCUAUACUUGCACUGGAUUUAUGUUUAGAAGAAAGAGAUGCAGAAGUCUGACCAUCACGAGCAGAAUCUUACUUCACCAAGGGGACUGAUCCAUAAAGUGCUUCGUCGUACAAAUAGCAGGCGAUCUCCAACUGCAGCAGAGCAAGAUCCUUCUCCUGUAUUUGCAGAAACAAGCAAUACUAAAUUCUUAAAGCAAAAGAAUGUAGAAGGUGCAACCAAAGAUCCAGAAAAGGGGAGCACUCACGAUAACCGAACUGAAGAUGAGAAGUCUGAUUUGUUAGGAUACGAAGUUUGUUCUGGGAAGCUUACAUUAGAUAGCAAAGGUAGAAGCGUUUCAGGUGAACAGUCGGGAUCAGGGUCUAGUGGCAAUUGUUUCGAUGCUAGGCUCACCACUGAAGCCUUAGUAUGGGGCUCUAACAUCCUUAAGCUUGAGGACAUUAUAUCUGUAAGUUGUUGGCUCAUUGACUUCAGUCUGCAACUGUCAUAUAUGUGUUUCUGAGUUUUACCACAAGCAGACAUCACGUUAAUAAUAAGCUCUUGUUUAACUUAACCCACAGGUAUCAUACAAUUCUGGGCUCCGGCAUUUCACUGUGCAUGCAUGCCCUCUUGAAAAGAGAUCUAAUGGACUUUCCUGCUUUAUGAAGCCUAGAAGAAUCCAGAGGGACUUGCGUUUCCUAUCCACUGCUCCACACGAGGCCUUUCGGUGGGUUAAUGGUUUUGCAGAUCAGCAAUGCUAUGUAAAUCUGUUACCACACCCCAUGGCAUCAAGCAAAAAGCAUUCUUCUGAACUCAUUCCAUUUGAUGCCAUGCUUGAUCCAUAUGUUAAAUGUCGAUCUCCACCAAAGAUACUUGUCAUCCUGAAUCCUCGAUCUGGACAUGGUAGAUCUAGCAAAGUUUUCCACGGGAAAGUGGAGCCCAUAUUUAAGGUAUGUCUAGCUAAGUAGAAGCAUGUUAAUAUCAAGAUCACAUCUACUUGGGUUGUUGCCAAAUAAGAUAUUAAUUUAGUUUAUAAGCAUGCUUUCAAAAUUAGAUCAGUAAGGUAUUUUGCAUGUUCAAGGGUGGUCGCUACAAUGAUCUUCACCCAACUUAAAAACGUGUUCUCAUCUAAAAAGGAAAACAUGUUUCCAUGUAUGUGUUUUAGAAUCACGAUCCUAAGUAGAAACCUUUUUGUUUGAUGUAAUCGAUCUAGGAUCGGGCCAUUGAAUCAUUAUUUUACCAGAUUUUUGAAGUAGACACAAUUCGUGUGAAAAUGAGUCAUUUAUGCAAAUCUGCAAAUUUAUAUACUUCAAAGUUUGUAUUUGGGCUGUUUUUUUUUUGUAAACUGGGAACACUUCCUUACAUUACAUUCAGUUGAAUUCAUUUCUGGUCUUACUCAAUUCAUUUUGUGGUUAUAUUGAUUACUGAGAUGUAUAAUAUGUGGAUCUUAAUAUAUUUUGGAUCUCAAUAUACUUUACUCAGGGUGGCAUGCACAAAGCAAAAAGGAAAUACGAUAAAAUAAACUGAUGUAAUUUAGAUCAAUAAUGUGUAAUAUGGAGUCUUGUAUGCUGUAUAGUUUAAUAUCCAGAUCCCAAUUACUAGCCUGAUCUUACCUUUGAUUCCAGUCAUUAGGGCCUUUGACAUCUAUAUUGAUUUCUUAUGUCAGUUAAUCAGUUCUAUGAUGCUGAAUUUGUUAGAAAUGCCAUUUCUGUAUAUUUUUGACAUUUGGGAGUGCCAUUCAGUUAUAUAUCAAGUUUAUAGGUGAUGCUUGUUUAUGCAGAUGUUUUUUUUGUACCUCAAGUACUUUCAUCUGGUUUAAUAAUAAUAAUAAUAAUAAGUGUUAGAGACAGCUUGCAGGUUUCAAGAUGGAAGUGGUUAAAACUACACAUGCUGGUCAUGCAAAAUCUCUUGUAUCAACUAUUGAUUUUAGUACCUGUCCAGAUGGUAUAUUUAUCUUUACAUCUUUCCUGAGUAGUUUAUGUUGAUCAUCUAAAUCACUUUUUGCCUGCACUUUCUAGGAAUUGUAUGUGUGGGUGGCGAUGGAAUUGUUAACGAGGUUAGUGUAUAUUAAUUCCAUGCAUAUUCUUUUUGUUGGCCUCUCUGUCAUGUUAGUUUUUUGGGGUCUAGUGUGGUAUAGUAACAAGAAAAGAUAAUCCUAGUGUCGGUCUUUCACACAGUUGUGGUCUGGAUUCGACUAGUACACAUGCAUAUUAAUGGAUUAUUACAAGCUAAAUAUGGAUUCAUUCAUCAGGAAGAGUACAGUUCUUUUUCCAGGACUGUCACAUAGUUCUGAGACAUAAACUAUGCACAUCUCAAAGCUCACAGCAUUUUUUUUUUUGGGGGGGGGGGGGGUAUAGUCCAUGGAAUGUACAAAAUCCACUCUUAUUAGUAAUAGCAAACAAUGUGACAGUAAUUACUAGCUUACUAGGUUCAGGGUUUUAUCUAGGGGGCAUAAAAAGUGUGCAUAUACCAUAUUCUACUUUGCUAUGCCACAACAAUUUUGAGUUCGUUGAACAAAGUUGCUGGGUUUUGGAUACUCAGAAGGUUUAAGUUGUUCCAGUACUACUACCAACUAAAUACUUGUCUUUAACAUUUGAGGGCCAUGUAUGUUUGCUACUGUUCAACGUUUUUAUUUCCAUAAGCACUUAAGGAGCCUGUUUGUUUGGUAGUUUCCCAAGGACCCGGACACAUCCUCUCCCUGUUGUCAAAAUAGAUAUUCGUGUGCUAACUACAGGUCCUGAUACAACAAUCAACUUAUUGCGUAGGUACUCAAUGGUCUUCUGUCCAGAGAUGAACAAAUUGAGGCAGGCUCUGUUCCAAUUGGCAUAAUACCUGCAGGAUCUGAUAACUCACUUGUUUGGACAGUAUUGGGUGUUAAAGAUCCAAUAUCUGCAGCAUUGUCCAUUGUCAGGGUAAACAACAUUUCAUUUGUUCAGUUUUACUGAUGCUUUUCUGUAUAUGUUUAACUCCUCUUGCAACUUUGCAUAUAAUUUUUUGACGCCUCAUUUUAAAGAGUACGAGUUAUUAAAAAUCUAAAUGUUACUCAUUAUGUUGGGUAAGAUUAUGUUCAUAGAUACACCUUUAGGGAUUCAGUUCCUUGAUGUAAAACAAUUUAAUCAUGAAUUAGGUUCAGCUAAAUCUCAUCAAUUGUGGUUAAUGGUGCUUGUACACUUAACUGCCAGUAUCCCAAAAAUCUGUAUGUUUCUGUUUCGUUUCUUUUACAGAUAAUAUUCUUCUUUCAUUUCUAAUUGUCUGCCCUCCCUGUGGUUCCAUUUGUCUGGGCCUGUAUGUCACUGCCGUAAGGUUAGCUGUUCUGUUGGACUUCACCCCAAAUUCACGUGACUACAACAUGUCCUAUUGUUGAGCCUUUCUUAACAUAUACUCCCUCUGUUCCUAAAUAUAAGUAUUUCUAGAGGUUUUACUAGUGUACUACAUACGGAUGUAUAUAGACAUAUUUUAGAGUAUAGAUUCAAUCAUUUUGCUCCGUAUAUAGACCCUAGUAAAAUCGCUUAAAAGACUUAUAUUUAGGAACGGAGGGAGUAUAUUUUCUCAUGUUAUUUAUAUGAGGCAGGUAGCGCCCGCUAGACGGUACAUCUUCCUCACAUGGUCACAUGGGAGUUACUUCUUUGUAAUUGUCCAUUAGGCUUCCCUGAGAUCCCUCCACCAUGGACCCACACAAAAAGUACAACACAGCUCCACUUUUAAUACGACAAUAACGCUCCUCCAUGUAGCUUUCUUUUGAUUCUGCAUUACUGUGUUAUUGUCAUGGUGCCAGCAACACCCAACCAUGUCUUAACACUGACGCCAACAAAGUGAAAAUAUGUUGUACCUGUAGUUUCAUCUAAGAGAUGCUACCCUAUACUUAUUUGAAUUGUUUAGAGCAUCUCCAACAGCCUUUGUAUAUUUGCACUCACUUGCUAUUUUACAAAUCUUGGUCAAAAAACCUUCUCCAACAGCCUUUUUAUAAGUGGUCCCCCACCAAUUUUUUUUACAAAGCUUGCUAUAUUUGCACCCACACUUUGCAUAUUUGCCAAGCCAAAGGCCACUUUGUAAAUUUUUAGCAAGCCUCCUAAAGCCCCACUUUGUCUCAAUGGUAGGUGGGUCCGUGUACUAGUGUGUGUGCUGCGCGUGCGCUGUGUGUGUGCGCGCGCGCAUGUGUAUGUGUGUGUGUUGCAUGUGUACGUGUGUAUGUGUACGUGUGUACGCUAGUGUGCAAUGUGUCUUAUGACAAACUGUCCUCACAUGUCAUUGUGUGUUUUGUGCAAAUAUAGCAAUCCAAUAUACAAAGGCUACCAAAGCAAAAAACAUGUUGGCUUUGUAAACCUUCUCUCUCCUCUUGCUAUAACAAUUUUUUAGCAAUCCAAUAUACAAAGGCUGUUGGAGAUGCUCUUAGUGUCGAUACCAUUAAUUAUUGUGCUUGCGAUUUCAUUGUCUAUGUUUUCAUAUAAUAUCUAGUCAAGGUAAUAAUAUUCAUUAAAUUUUUUGUUUGUUGCAGGGAGGUUUUACACCUAUUGAUGUUUUUUCUGUUGAAUGGAUUCAGAGUGGGACUACACAUUUUGGCACAACAGUCUCAUAUUUUGGGUUUGUUAGCGAUGGUACCACAUACUUGAAUUUUCAGGAAAUUUUCUCUUAUUUUUAAAAUAUAAAUUAGCUUCUUGAACUAAAGCGAGUUUCCAUUUAUCUGCUGCAGUUCUUGAACUCUCAGAGAAAUACCAGAAGCGUUUUGGUCCUCUCCGUUACAUUGUUGCUGGUUUUCUGAAAUUUCUGUGCUUGCCAAAGUACACUUUUGAAUUGGAGUAUCUUCCAGUAGCAGAUGUUGAUGGUGCUGGGCACAAAAUUGUGGAGGGACAAGAAAAGGUUGAUACGUCAGACCUCUAUGACGAUGUAGUUCAGAGGUCGAGAGCAGAAUGUUUACCGCGCGCAUCAAGUUUGUCUAGCAUUGAUUCAAUCAUGUCUACGAGCAUAAUGUCUGGGGGAGAAGCAGAGGUUCCUAGUCCACGCGCUAAUAAUGAACCGUCUGAACUUGUGCGUGCACUUGAUCCGAAAUCAAAACGCCAGUCAUUAGGGAGGACAAGUACUUUCAAGGAACCAGAAGAAUUGCUCCAUCCUCAGGCAUCAACUCCCAGCUGGCGUAGAUCCAAAUCAAAGUCAAGGACAGAAAAGGCGUGGCCAGGUUUGACUGCUACAAAUGAGACUAAACCUUCUAAGGGCACGACAACACAUGAUAAAGAAGACACAUCAUCCACAGUUUCAGAUCCUGGACCUGCAUGGGAUACAGGACCCAAGUGGGAUAUGGAGCCUAAAUGGGAUAAUCAACCUAAUUGGGAACCUGAAACUCCUAUCGAGCUACAUGGUCCAUCAGAUGACAUUGAGCUUGGUCUGACUAAGGAACUAGUCCCAAGCUUAGAUGAAAGAUGGGUCGUCAGGAAAGGGCGCUAUCUCGGUGUAUUGGUAUGCAACCAUUCAUGCAAGACUGUGCAGAGUUUAAGUUCCCAGAUAGUUGCUCCCAAGGCUGAAUAUGACGACAACUGUCUGGACCUGCUGCUGGUUGGUGGAAGUGGGAGGCUAAGGUUAUUAAGGUUUUUGGUGCUUUUGCAGUUUGGAAAACAUAUUUCUCUUCCGAAUGUGGAAUAUGUAAAGGUGUGAUUUUGCUCCUCUUUGUCCAGAAUCCAGUUUUACUCAUGACAGAAAAACCAUCCGAUUUUAGUUCCAUUCAUCUGACAAAUUGCUGUGCUUACUUUCAGGUAAGAUCCGUAAGGCUUAAGGCAGGCCCGAAUACACAUGAUGGGUGUGGUAUCGACGGGGAACUACUCCAUGUCAAGGGGCAGGUCCGGUGCAGUUUGCUACCUCAGCAAAGUCAUUUGAUAGGCAGGCCAGCCAAAAACCUUGUACAGUAACUGUAAAUACAUCACCCUGCGGCCCUAUAUCUGCCUGGAAAUUCGCACCUGUACAACCGGCAACUUUCUUGAUCUUUUUACCUCUGCAUCCAGAACAGCUUCGCUGACAGACAGGCACGUAUAACUCCAGCGAUGUACAUUUGUGCUUGAUGACCUAAAGUGCCAGAGGGUGACAUUUAUCCAAAAAAUGUAAAGCCUAUCUGGUCUGCAGCCUGCUGCGCUUCUCUUUGUUUCGCCUUUUCUUUGGCUGGUAUGGGAUGUUGUGCUAUGGAGCCAUCCUGAUCCGCGUACUUGGGGGACGGUUCUGUUGAGAAGAGCAUGGCGCCCACCCCUGGAGUGUGCGGUUGUUUGGAGGUCCCUGGUGCCGGCCACUUGAUAAUGCUUGUCACCCCCCAUUAGAGGGACAAAACGCUCCCAAUGCUAUGCCCCUCAUCAGCUUGUGAUGUUUACAGAAAGUGCCAACAGAUUUCUAUCAUGUCAUGUUCCCGGUAUAGUAUAGGAUUUGGAUGAACCCAAAAAAGGAGAGAAGAUAUUUGUGGUGCUGCUGGCUUUUCCACCUAUAGUUCUUUUUGUGUGUGUGUGUGUGUNNNNNNNNNNNNNNNNNNNNNNNNNNNNNNNNNNNNNNNNNNNNNNNNNNNNNNNNNNNNNNNNNNNNNNNNNNNNNNNNNNNNNNNNNNNNNNNNNNNNNNNNNNNNNNNNNNNNNNNNNNNNNNNNNNNNNNNNNNNNNNNNNNNNNNNNNNNNNNNNNNNNNNNNNNNNNNNNNNNNNNNNNNNNNNNNNNNNNNNNNNNNNNNNNNNNNNNNNNNNNNNNNNNNNNNNNNNNNNNNNNNNNNNNNNNNNNNNNNNNNNNNNNNNNNNNNNNNNNNNNNNNNNNNNNNNNNNNNNNNNNNNNNNNGUGUGUGUGUGUGUGUGGUGUAUUGAGUUGUAUUUUCUCCCGGCUGUCUGCCAUAACGUGUUGGAUCAUAAAUCUUUGUCAGGGUAAACCUGCAGGUACAUAUGUGGUACUAUGUGUUGUUCUCUGUUUGGGAAUAAACAGCAUGUCUUGAUGGUGUGUGACAUUGUUGGUCGCAAAGAACUGAAUGGUGCCUGCUUUUAUCAUUUCGUUCAUGAGGAUCAUACACCCCCUGCAGGGCUAAAACUUGUUAAUCAAAAAAGGUCUGGAAAGCGUUCGGCACGGACAAACCGACAAACAAACGCUACGCUUCUGGCAGCAAGGAUCAUUAGGGCCCGUUUGUUCAUGACUAACUUUAUCAUAACUAAGCUUGAACAAAAUAUUGUUGUUAUAAAAAGUGUGGCUAAUAAAAUGACCACCACAAAUGUGGCUAGCAAAAUAAGCACCACAAGAGUAUAGCAAGAUUUGACAAAAAAUUAAGUCUAUAACAUGUGGAUCAUGUAGCUAGAAAAAUAUGACAAGCCAUAAGUAACAAUAAACCAAACAUGUGCCUAAGAUAUUAUGACACAGUUAAGGUUAGACGUGACAACCUUAGACUGCGAACCAAACAAACAUAUAUUCUUUAUUUAGGUACGAAAAUCAUCACUGCCAAAGAUAUAUAGAACAAUUGGCUUAUAAUUGUAGGACGCAGUUGGUAGCUCCCAGGAGCUGGAGGUUGCUAAAAGGGAUAGCCAACAAAAAAAGCAAGGGAGGGGAGGAGGGGCACCGGGAAAAAAGACACCUGGAAAAAACAUGGCUAGCUAGCUUAGAGUACAGUAAUAAGUUUAAAAAGGUAUAAUUAAUAGACUGUAAGGAUUAAUUACUAUGUUUUUAUCGAAUUGGAUAAUAGAAAAAGAAGAAAGAAGAUAAAUGCUGUAAACACAAGCUCAAAGAAACAUUGAAAAUGUAAUGUGGGUCAGUUAUUAAUAAAUUAGUGUGUCUUACUAAGAGCCUGUUCGGACCCUCUCCACUCUGGAGCUCCGGGAGCGGAGCGGAGCGGCGUGUAGUUGUAAUUUAGGGAGUAGUUAAUAUGAUGCAAUUUAGGAAGUAGCUAAUAGGAUGCUCCGUGCUCCGCUCCCUGGUGGAGGAGUGCCGAACACCGUCUAACUAAUAGUACUACUAUACAUGUUGCUUAUUAGAUUGGCUAGGUGAUAUAGAAACUUCAUACAGCUGGUUGUUGUCUAUAUUAUUAAUCAUGCUUGGCAUUCCCAAUGCGAACCCUCAAAUAGCCCGUCAAUGUCUAGAUCAAGAUGUCCAGACACAUUUUGUCAUUCAAUGUGUAUUUGUCAGACGCGGCCAAGGUCCUUUUUUUACAAAUCAGACGCUAACCAAAGGUCACACUCAAAAUCACUCCUACCCGCACGACCGCUCCAAUAGUCCUACGCCACAUUUAUGUCGGUCUGGAAUGGACACGACCCCUCGCAACAUGCUAGACAUUGAAGGGACACGUUGACCGAGAGCGCCGUUGGUGCCACACCCGUUCGCUCGCACUCCGUGUCGCGUUCAAUGCCGGCUCAGAACAACAUGACCGGACUGGGAGACAUGACGGCUUCCUGCUGCAUUGAAGCUAGCUACCCAUUUGUUCGUCCGCCCAACAUAGAAGAGGUACGCUAUAGCAGAAACCCAACACCCGCUCCUGCAUUCAAACCGCCGCUUCGGUUAACCGACGCCCGUUAUAUAAACAUGGCCGCGCAUAGCCCGAACUGCACCACCUCCGCUUCCCCUUCCUCUUUCGUGCAUGACCGUUGGAGCAAUGACAAUGACCGUCAGAGUGCUGUGGAAGCGACUCUCGUCGAUGUAGAAGCACGACAUGAUGGCCCUUGCUAACGCCUGGCAUGGCUGGCAUGCGCGACACAUAGAGGCCGAACUGCCUUUCGUUGGAGGAUGAUGACCGCACGAUGCAACAGACAUCCGACGCCGCACCCGCUCCCGUGUCGGUUACUGGCUUCACCAUGGCGCAGGUGCAGACGCACUAGGGGUCGUCAUGGCGACGGAGGAGGAGCCGAUGCAACCUGCACCACCAAGCUCCAUGUUCUGAAUGUUGCAUGAGGAGCAAUGAUACAACAUCCGGCUUCUCGAGCACCACCGGCUUGCGGAGGGACAAAUCGCCAACAAGCAAGCGAACAAGGUGUCGUUGCAGACAUGGUCAUGAAGAAUUCAGGCUCCUGGAUGAGCAGCGGGCGUUGUACCAGUCAAUAUGCAGCGCCCGUGACAUCUGCCGCGAGCGAUGUGGCUGCGCGUCGUGCGGGCAGAGACUGACACAUUGUUGGUGAAGAGGCGCAGAGACGAACACAUAGGCAAUGCACACGAUCAUGGACGUGAAUGCUACUGUCUAUGUCGCUAGCUCUACAUCGAUCACGCCGCACGCGCGGUUCUUGCCCGGCCGCAACGAUCAUAAGACUGGCCCAACCACAUUGAUUGUGGACCUCAUCUCAACCGGUGACGUUCACACGGCGGACUCCGGUGAAGAAGAGUAGGAGACAAGACACAUAUAUAGGCAUCUCGUGUCCUAUUUACUGCAACUUCGUGUCCCAUAUCCUACUCUCUUCCUGUAUGCGACCCGUAAUUUCAUUUGUCGAAGCUCACGGACAUAAAAAAAAACAGGACGUGGAACACAUACGCCUCCACGUUUGGCGAAGAUUUAUACUAGGUUAAAAAAGAAUAAUGUGUGCUUUUGUUAAUGAAAUAUUUUAAAAAUAUUAUUAAUCUUGUCCAAUUAAAAUAAGAAAUAUUUAGUUUAUAUGAAAUCUGUCUAGUUUGUUUAAAUUUCAUUUGGGACGGAUAGUUACUCCGAUCUGAGAGACGGCUUUUGGCGUUAGGCUGUGCAUGCAGAAAGACGCAGGAGCAAAGCAAACAAAAGCCACCGACUGCGCAGGUGCAAACACCCAACGCAAUAUUGCACAGAUCGUACCACUCAAGUACACAGAGAGGGCCAAAAAAAAGGCCGGAGAAAACAGCUGGCAAACCGCAAGAGCAUGGAAGUUGCCGCGCGGCUAGGCUAACACCUGCAAUGGCAGCCGCGGCCCCUGGCGAAGCCGAGCGACACGCAGCGGCCGCCGCGGCGGCACCCGCCGUAGUGGCACACGUCCAUGCAUGCGCUGUUGGCCGCCGCGUCCCCCGGGUCGCACUGCUCCACCGGGAUCGUCGCCCCGCACGGCACCCCCGACGGGUAGUCCUCCACCCACGCCGCCCUCGCCGACGGCGCCGCCACCAAGACCACUGCAAAAACGGGUCACAUCAUUUGCAUCAGGCACGCAUGCGCACAUUCAAGAGAUGCAUGCAGCUCGCGCUUCGCCACUGCAUGCGAGCUCGCGGUGCCUUUUUCGCUUACCGGUGAGCAUGGCGACGAGGACGACGAGGGGGAAGCGCGGGGGCAGCAGGGGGAGACUGCAGCGGCACGCGGCGGCAUCGCCGCCUACUCGAGCCAUGGGUUGCUUAAUUAGCUUCUGUUUUGCUCGCCUGGGGAGUUGACGAGAGCUAGCUGAUGCUCCCGGCCGCGCCCUGUGCAUGCCGGUCAUGGUGCGCGCGGCGUGAUAUAUAGAGGGAGAUGAGCUGACAACGAUGACAAGUGCUGGAAAGCGGCGGCCGCGCGCGGCAAAGGGUGGAAACCGACAGGGCAAGUACGCUUGCUGGCUGCUGCUCUUGUACCUGCAAUAUAUGCGCGGGUCGUUAGCAAUAAUAGUGUAUGUUAUCCGGGCAUCAACUUGUAAUGAGGCUGGUUAUUAUUGCUGUAUAAUUGCUUGAUUUGGACGCGCAUAUCUAGUGUGCUUUUGAUAUAAGGAGGAUUAAAGUUCAUGGCACCGGCACUGGUGUGCUCGAUUUUGACAUUAUAUACUCCGUAGUGCACGGAUUUCACUGGUCAAGUUAGAUUCAACAUCAUCCGAAUGCCUAAUGUACCAUGUACCAAUGAAUGAGGGAACCCCUUUGUUUUCUGAACAAACCUAAACCUUAAAAACUAAACCCUAACUAUCCUGACAUGUUGCUGACAUGAUCAAGUAUGCAUGUAAUUGGCCCAACGACGAUAUCCAAAUACUGUCUCCGUCACUGUUUGAUGCAUGAGUGAAAUAAAUCAAAAGCUAUUAGUAUUUACUAAAGCAAACGUGUGUGAAUAAAAAGUAUGCAUGCACCUCGAAUCAUUGGAGUUGCAACAAUUAAAUUGGAAUAUGCAUGUGGCACAAAAUAGUGUUGCUGGAUAAUGACAUGGCACAUUCGAUGAUGUGAAGGGCCGCAUGUUGAGAGAACUAAAGAUAAUGGAAUGAACUAUUAUUUUGUAAGAUAACUUCGAGUGCAAAGAAACAUGAAUGUGGAAGGAGUGAUGGUGACAACAAUAUUAUUUUAACAUACAACAGAAGACAUGUCCGUCAUGUCCGUAUCGACUCUAAGAAAUGGUUUAGCACAUAAAAUCAUCUAUGACUAUAUUUUCUUCGAUUUCCAAAUUAGGAUGGACGCAGAUACAAAUAUUAGAUCAUGUCGGGUUCAAACAUGGUACGGUUACAGAGUGGACUUAUUCGGAAAUGAACAUAUACCAAAGGGUCCGUCUAUAUCACAUCUAAAUGUGAGAUAAUACCUCACAUCUAAGUAUGAUGUCAGCGCCAUCUUUUUUUAUUGUUUAUCAUGUUUGUUUGAUUUUAAUUUGUCAAAGCCCAAAGCCAAAAACCACGUCGCCCUGCGUCUGCCUUGGUCGGCCUAAACACAAAUCUGGUCACUAGCCCCCCUCAUAAAUAAAUCUGGUCGCUAGCUACCUGUAAAAAAAAAAACUGAUCGCUAGUGCUAAAUCAAUUAGUUAGCUUUUGCGUCUGAUAACAAGUACAUCUCCCAUCGCUAGCUUCUAGGCUACCAUUUAUUUUUUGCAUUUUGGUUUUUGCGUUUUUCACUCUCAUAUUUUAUAACUAAUUUUUAGUAAGGAUCAAAGUUUCGCAACACAUAUUUAAAAAAACAUGUUCAUGAAUUUACACAAAUUUUUCAAAAUUAUAAAAAAUGUUAACGAAUAUAAAAAAUGUUCUAAUGUAUGGUGAACAAUGCUUCAAUAUAUGAUGACAUUUUGUGAAUACACAUUAAUUAUUUUGCAAUACACAGUGAACAUUUUUUCUGAUAUAUGUGAAUUUUGGAUAUACGAUGAACUAAAAGCGAACUUUUUUAUGUACAUUUAACUAAAAGCAAACAUGGAAAAACAAAAAUAGAGAAAAUAGAUAAAUGAGAAGAGAACAAAAAUGACCACAUUUUGAUUUGUUUUAAAAAAUCAAUAAACACGAACAAUUUUAGAAAAACGGAACAAAUUUACAAAUUUUGAAGCACUUAUUGAAACUUGUGAAUUUAUGUUAAAAAUAAUCAGAAAAUGAAAAAAAGAUGAGUUCAACUUUUGAAAUAUAGAAAAACUAAAAGGACGGGUAAAACAAUGAAGAAAAAUGAUAAAAAGCAGUAAAACAUGAAGAAAAUGAAACAAAAAAAUGUACCCGAGCUACUUGAGCUGGCUCGCGUGCAGUUUAUUCGCUCACAAGUGUGGACUUGAAACUAGAACAAGAAAAGGUUGGACCAUCAGUGGCAAGUCGAGGGUGAACUCUUAGUUGGGACUAAAAAAGGCAGACCCCAGUAAUGAGUUGAGUUUGGACUUGCAACUGGGACAAAAAAGAUUGGCCCUAGUUGCGAGUCGAGGGUGGACUUGCAACUUGGACAAGAAAAGGACGAGUCCCGGUUGCGAGUAGAUGUUGGACUUGCAACUGAGGAGAAAAGGCCGGGCCCCAGUUGCGAAUCAAGGGUGGACUCGUAAUUGGGACUGAAAAAGGUCGUACCCCAGUUGCGAGUCGGGAGUGGACUUGCAACUCGGAGAAAAAGGUUGAGCCCUAGUUGUGAAUCGAGGGUGGACUUGCAUCUCGAACAAAAAAGGUUGGGCUCCAGUUACAAGUCGAGGAUGGACAUGCAACUCAGACAAAAAAGGUCGGGCCCUAGUUGCGAGUUGAGGGUGGACUUGCAACUUGGAAAAAAAGUCUAGCCCCAUUUGUGUCAAGAGUGGACUUGCAACUUGGAGAAAAAUGGUUGGACCCGAGUUACACUUUCAACUAGAACAAAAAAAAGGCCAAACCCCAGUUGCGAGUCGAGGAUGGACUUACAAUUAGGAGAGAAAAUUCAGCGCCAUGUUGCAAGUCAAGAGCGCAAUUGCAACCGGGCAAAAAAGGUCGGGCCAACUAUGAAUCAAGGGUGGACUUGCAACUCAGAUAAAAAAUGAUGGACCCUAGUUGCGAGUUAAGGGUGAACUUGCAACUCUCACAAAAAAGGGUCACGUCCCAACUACAAGUCAAGGGGGUAUUGCAACUCAGAUAAAAAAAGUUUGAUUUCUAAUUAUGAGUCGAGGGUGGAUUUGCAACUAGAAAAUAAAAUCGGGCCCCAGUUGCAAGUCGACGGUGGACCUGCAACUAGGAUAAAGAAAGGUCAGGUCCUGGUUGCAAGUCGAGAGCGGACUUGCAACUGGGACAAAAAACAUCGGUUCCAUUUUGUGAUUCUAGGGUGGACAUGCAAAUGAGACCAAAAAAAGAUGGACCCAAUUGCAAGUAAAGGAUGGAUUCACAACUAGAACAAAAAAGUUCAGACCCUAGUUACGAUUCGACGGCGGACUUCCAAAUGGAACAAAAAUACCGAGUCCUAGUUGCGAGUCGAGAGUGGACUUACAACUAGGACAAAAAAGAUCCUAGUUGUGAAUCGAUGGCCAAAAAAAGCAGAAUCAAACAUGCCCACACCAGCAACGCAGAAUCAAACAUGCCUACGCUAGUAAUAUGAUACACAAUAAACAAACAACAACAACAAGCGGAGCAGAAGGUAGAGCGAUUACACGAAAAUUAUUACAGAAACUAAAUCAACGAUGAAUUUUAAAAAUACUUAUAAAAUUUGAAAAGUCAUGAAUUUAAAAGGACCAAAAAAGAAAAUAAAAUAAAAUUUAGAAACCAGAAUAAAUAAUUGAAAAAACAAACAAGAAAAAAAUAAGCAAGGAAAAACAAAUGCAUUUUAUAGCAAAGUUUUACUGGACAUAUACAUUAUUGGAAAUAUGCCCUAGAGGCAAUGAUAAAUAGUUAUUAUUAUAUUUCCUAUUUAAAGAUAAUUGUUUAUUAUCCAUGCUAUAAUUUUAUUGAAUGAAAACAAAGAUACAUGUGUGGAUACAUAGACAAAACAAUGUCCCUAGCAAGCCUCUAGUUGGCUAGCCAGUUGAUCAAUGGUAGUCAAGGUUUUCUGACUAUGUGCAAGUGUUGUCACUUGAUAACUGGAUCACAUCAUCAGGAGAAUCAUGUGAUGGACUAGACCCAACCUAUGAAUGUAGCAUAUUGAUCGUGUUGUUUUAUUGCUAUUGUUUUCUGCGUGUCAAGUAUUUGUUCCUAUGACCAUGAGAUCAUAUAACUCACUGGCACUGGAGGAAUACCUUGUGUGCAUCAAACGUCACAACGUAACUGGGCAACUAUAAAGGUGCUCUACAGGUAUCUCCGAAGGUGUCCGUUGAGUUAGUAUGGAUCAAGACUGAGAUUUGUCACUCCGUGUGACGGAGAGGUAUCUCGGGGCCCACUCGGUAAUACAACAUCACACACAAGCCUUGCAAGCAAUGUGACUAAGUGUAAGUCACGGGAUCUUGUAUUACGGAACGAGUAAAGAGACUUGCCGGUAACGAGAAUGAAAUAGGUAUGCGUAUACCGACGAUCAAAUCUCGGGCAAGUAACAUACCGAAGGACAAAGGGAAUGACAUACGGGAUUAUAUGAAUCCUUGACACUGAGGUUCAACCGAUAAGAUCAUCGGAGAAUAUGUAGGAUCCAAUAUGGGCAUCCAGGUCCCACUAUUGGAUAUUGACCGAGGAGUGCCUCGGGGCAUGUCUACAUAAUUCUCGAACCCGCAGGGUUUGCACACUUAAGGUUCGAUGAUGUUUUAGUAUAGUUGAGUUAUAUGUGUGGUUACCGAAUGUUGUUCGGAGUCCCGAUGAGAUCACAGACGUCACGAGGGUUUUCGGAAUGGUCCGGAAAUGAAGAUUGAUAUAUAGGAUGGUUUCAUUUGGUUACCGGAAGGUUUUUCGGGCAUUGUACCAUGAGUGACGAAUGGGUUCUGGAAGUUCAUCGGGAGGGGGGCAACCCACCCGGGGGAAGCCCAGUGGCUUUAGGGGUGGCGCACCAGCCCUUAGUGGGCUGGUGGGACAGCCCAAGAGGGCCUUGGCACCAAGAGAAGAAAACCAAAGAAAGAAAAAUAAAAGGGGGAGGUGGGAAGGAAGAGAGGGACUCCACUUUCUAAUCCUAAUUGGAGCAGGAUUCCUCCUCUCCUCCCUGGCCGGCCCAGCCUUGAGGGCUUGGCCCUCAAGGCAAGCCUCCUCCCCCUCCCUCCUAUAUAUAGUGGUGAUUUAGGGCUGAUUUAGAUAACUUUUGCCAUGUGCAACUCAGAUCUAGACACCAUAGUUCUUCCUCUAGAUCGUAUUUCUGCGGAGCUCGGGCGGAGCUCUGCAGGAGUAGAUCAUCACCACCACCGGAGCAUCGUCACGCUACCAGAGAACUCAUCUACUUCUCCAUCUUGCUUGCUGGAUCAAGAAGGCCGAGAUCAUCAUCGAGCUGUACGUGUGCUGAACGCAGAGGUGCCGUCCGUUCGACACUAGAUCGGAACGGAUCGCGGGACGGUUCAUGGGACGGUUCGCGGGGCGGAUCGAGGGACGUGAAGACGUUCCACUACAUCAACCGCGUUUCUUAACACUUCAUGUUGUGCGAUCUACAAGGGUACACAGAUCCAAAUCUCCUCUCGUAGAUGGACAUCACCAUGAUAGGUCUCAUGUGCAUAGGAAUUUUUUGUUUCCCAUGCAAUGUUUCCCAACAACUAGGUGUACGUGUGUGUGAUGAGCACAAACACCAGGAAUUUGACCUACAAGCAUUGUUGUUCGUAACCAUCAAUGAUUGGCCUGCUCUUAGUAACAUUUCAGGACAGUCAAACAAGGGAUACAAUGCAUGCACGUACUGUUUAGAUAAUACUAAAGGUACAUAUUUGAAAAAAUCUAAGAAGGUUGUCUACCUGGGGUGUCGUCAAUUUCUUCCGACCAAUCAUACCGUAAGAAAGAAAGACAAGCAUUUCAACGGUGAGGCAGAUCACCGGAAGAAGCCUAACCUCCCUACUGGUGAUGAGUUAUUGGCUAUGGUCAAGGAUUUGGAUCAAAUAGUAAUCUUUGGAAAGGGUCCUGGCGGUCAAUCUGUUCCGAAAGACGACAUUAACGGACACGUGCCCAUGUGGAAAAAGAAAUCUUUAUUUUGGGAGCUACCCUAUUGGAAACACCCAGAGGUCCGGUCUUCAAUAUACGUGAUGCACGUGACGAAGAAUCUUUGCGCGAACCUGCUAGGCUUCCUAGGAGUGUAUGGAAAGACAAAAGAUACAACAGAAGCACGGGAGGAGCAACAACGUAUGAAAGACCCAUACGACAAGAAGACUGAUAAAGUGCGUCAAUACUUAAGCAGCUACGCUCUUACCAAAGCAGAGAAGGAAAUAUUUUUUGAAUGCCUGAGCGGUAUGAAGGUCCCCGCUGGCUUCUCGUCUAAUAUAAAGGGAAUAAUAAAUAUGGCAGAGAAAAAAUUCCAGAACCUGAAGUCUCAUGAUUGCCACGUGAUUAUGACGCAGUUGCUUCCGGUUGCAUUGAGGGGGCUUCUAUCGGAAAAUGUUCGAUUACCCAUUGUGAAGCUAUGUGCAUUCCUCAAUGCAAUAUCUUAGAAGGUAAUCGAUCGAGAACUUCUGGAAAGGCUACAGAAGGAUGUGGUCCAAUGUCUUGUCAGUUUUGAGUUGGUGUUCCCCCCGUCCUUCUUCAAUAUUAUGACGCAUCUCCUUGUUCACCUAGUCAACGAGAUUUCCAUUCUCGGUCCUGUAUUUCUACACAAUAUGUUCCCCUUCAAGAGGUUCAUGGGAGUCUUACAGAAAUAUGUUCAUAACCGUGCUAGGCCAGAAGGAAGCAUCUCCAAGGGCUAUGGAACAGAGGAGGUCAUUGGGUUCUGUGUAGACUUUCUUCCUGACCUUAAGCCGAUUGGUGUUCCUGAAUCGCGGCAUGAGGGGAGACUAAGUGGAAAAGGCACACUAGGAAAUAAAGCAAUGAUAUAUAGGGACGGGCAUUCUUUCACUCAAGCACACUACACAGUUCUAAAAAGUUCCACCUUCGUGGCUUCAUAUAUCGAGGAGCACAAGAAUUUUGUACGCUCCGAGUUCCCGGGGAAGACUAUCUCCUGGAUUGAAGAAGAACACAUGGAUACAUUCAGUAGUUGGUUGCGAGCACGUCUGAAUUACAACACUGUUGGAGAUCAACUCUACUUGUUGGCCGCGUCACCUUCUUCGACUGUAUUACAUUUCCAAGGGUACGAGAUAAACGGGAAUACAUUUUACACGACCGCCCAAGAUAAAAAGAGCACCAACCAAAUCAGUGGUGUCCGCUAUGAUGCAACAGACGAGAAUGGGAAAAAGGACACAUACUAUGGUUACAUAGAGGAGAUAUGGGAACUAGACUAUGGACCUACUUUUAAGGUCCCUUUGUUUCGGUGUAGUUGGGUGAACAUGAAUGGAGAAGGGGUAAAGGUAGACCAGUUGUACGGAAUGACAACAGUUGAUCUCAAGAAUCUUGGUUACAGAGACAAGCCAUUCGUCCUAGCCAAUGACGUGGCUCAGGUUUUCUACGUGAAAGACAUGUCCUCCAGACCGAAAAAAGCAAAUGAAUACAUCGGACGAUGAGCCAAAGCAUCACAUAGUUCUUUCAGGGAAAAGAAACAUCGUUGGGAUCGAGGACAAGACAAACAUGUCAGCAGAUUAUAAUAAGUUAGAUGAAAUUCCGCCCUUCAUAGUGAGAAUUGACCCAAGCAUCCCGUUAAAUAAUGAAGAUGCUCCAUGGUUACGGCCAAAGCGAUCAUAGGCAAGGGAUCGAAGUAUAAAUCUAUGUAAUGUAUUAAACUUUAUGUGAUGUGUACUAACGUAUUAAACUUUAUGUGAUGUAUUAAAUUUUGUGUGAUGUGUACUACGAAGUGCAUCCAGUUUUUGCCGUAACCCUCUCAACUUUUUAGCACAUGCUAUUUGGGUGAAAUGAUGAUACAUGCCAACUUUCAACAUUUUCAGAGUUCAUUUGUAGUGCUUUUCAAUUUCAGGGUCAACUAGCUCAAAAAAAAGUAAAUGCACGAAAAAUAUCAAAUUAAGUCAGAAAUUAUUGAAAAUUUGUGAUGUACCUUUUAAUGGUGCAUUUUGAACACACAAAAAGUAUGGAGUUCAAAUAAGUUCAAAAAAAUGAAAUCCCUUUGUAACACAUGAGUUCUUGUUCGAAACCAUGAUACUUCGAGAGAGAUUGUCCGUUUUGUACACGAAGUGCAUCCAAUUUUUGCCGUAACCCUCUCAACUUUUUAGCACAUGCUAUGUGGGUGAAAUGAUGAUACAUGCCAACUUUCAACAUUUUUAGAGUUCAUUUGUAGUGCUUUUCAAUUUGAGGGUCAACUAGUUCAAAAAUAAUAAUUAAUGCACGAAAAAUAUCAAAUGAAGUCAGAAAUUGUUGAAAAUUUGUGAUGUGCCUUUGAAUGGUGCAUUUUGAACACACAAAAAGUAUGGAGUUCAAAUAAGUUCAAGAAAAUAAAAUCCCUUUGUAACAAAUGACUUCUCGUUCGAAAUCCUAAUACUUCGAGAGAGAUUGUCCGUUUUGUACACGAAGUGCAUCCAGUUUUUGACGUAACCCUCUCAACUUUUUAGCACAUUCUAUGUGGGUUAAAUGAUGAUACCAUGCCAACUUUCAACAUUUUCAGAGUUCAUUUGUAGUGCUUUUCAAUUUCAGGGUCAAUUAGCUCAAAAAAAUAAGAAAAUGCACGGAAAAUACCAAAUGAAUUCAAAAAUUGUUGAAAAUUUGUGAUGUGCCUUUGAAUGGUGUAUUUUGAACACACAAAAAGAAUGGAAUUCAAAUAAGUUCAACAAAAUAAAAUCCCUUUGUAACAGAUGAGUUUUUGUUCGAAACCCUGAUACUUUGAGAGAGAUUGUCCGUUUUGUACACGAAGUGCAUCCAGUUUUUACCGUAACCCUCUCAACUUUUUAGCACAUGCUAUGUGGGUGAAAUUAUGACCAUGCCAACUCUCAACAUUUUGAGAGUUCAUUUGUAGUGUUUUCCAAUUUGAGGGUCAACUUGCUAAAAAAAAAGUAAAUGCACGAAAAAUAUCGAAUGAAGUCAGAAAUUGUUGAAAAUUUGUGAUGUGCCUUUGAAUGGUGCAUUUUGAAGACAUAAAAAGUAUGGAGUUCUAAUAAGUUCAAAAAGAAAAUGAAAUCCCUUUGUAAGAGAUGAGUUCUCGUUCGAAACCAUGAUACUUCAAGAGAGAUUGUCCGUUUUGUACACAAAGUGCAUCCAGUUUUUGCCAUAACCCUCUCAACUUUUUAGCACAUACUAUGUGGGUGAAAUGAUGAUACCAUGCCAACUUUUAACAUUUUCAGAGUUCAUUUGUAGUGCUUUUCAAUUUGAGGGUCAACUUGCUCAAAAAAAAGAAGAAAAUGCACGGAAAAUACCAAAUGAAGUCGGAAAUUAUUGAAAAUUUGUGAUGUGCCUUUGAAUGGUGCAUUUUGAACACACAAAAAGUAUGGAGUUUAAAUAAGUUAAAAAAAUAAAAUCCCUUUGUAACAGAUGAGUUCUCGUUCGAAACCCUCAUACUUCGAGAGAGAUUGUCCGUUUUGUACACGAAGUGCAUCCAGUUUUUGCCGUAACCCUCUCAACUUUUUAGCACAUGCUAUGUGGGUGAAAUUAUUAUACCAUGGCAACUUUCAACAUUUUCAGAGUUCAUUUGUAGUGUUUUUCAAUUUCAGGGUCAACUAGCUCAAAAAAAAAAUGCAUAGAAAAUAUCAAAUGAAGUCAGAAAUUGUUGAAAAUUUGUUAAAAUAUUUAACAGAAAACAAAAAAAGAGCCAACUAAAAAGAAUCAACUAAAACAUUAACUAAAAUGAAUGAAUUAAAAACAAUCAACUGAAAUUAUCAAAGUGCUUAUUUGUUAAAAAGAAUCAAGUAAAUCAUUAACUAAAAAGAAACAAAAAAAGAUCAACUCAAAAGAUUUUUCAUAAAGUUUUUUGCUUAAAAUGUUUAAUAGAAAACUAAAAUAGAAGAGAAAAUAAAAUUGAAAAUAUAUGAGAAUUUAUAGAGAAAAUUCAACCUAAAUUUAAAGUGAGCUUACCCACUUUGAAUUUAGUUUGAAUUUUGUCUUUAAAUUCACAUAUAUUUUCAAUUUUUGAUAGGCGGCUCUUUCUGCUUGAUAGGCGCGAGCAUGUGCGGGAUUGGGCUCCGCCGGGAUGGCAUUGGGAGGAAUUACCUUCCGGGGCGCGCAGCUUGGUUAGGAACCAGGCUCCCAUCGUCGACCCGGAGCUUCUUUGGUGGCAGUCACGGGGGCCACUUUCGGUGCCUAGGUUGCCGACCCCCGAGGAGGACAUACAUCGCCAUGUCAGUGAGGAGGACGAGCACGUCCGUCGGCACAUGGAAGCGUUGGAUGCCAGGUUCUCCAGUACCUAGCAGGUUCUUCACGGAUCUCACCCGAGCUAUGAUCCCGUGAUGGUCCCUUCUCUUUGGCUGUCCACCGACCGCGCCUCAGUACAACGACGGCUCUUUGUUGGUUGAUCAGUUAUAUAUUAUUCGAUGUAUUACUGUAUUCGAGAGAUGUAUUAUUUAUGUAUUCCAGAUUAUAUAUUCGAUAAUAUUAAGUGGAUUAUUUGAUGAUGCAUUAAUUAAGUGGAUUAUUCGAUGAUGUUUAAUUAAUUUGUAGAUACUAUGGAUCCAAUACACGGCAGAGACGAAUAUCAGGAAGACGUGAUGCAUGGUGUCAUCCACGGGGAUGAUAUUUUAGUUCGCGAUGUCGAUGUCACCAAUCAGUUUCUGAACGAGUCCAGCGAGGGAGAUGAGUCUCUCAACACAUGAGGUAGAAGCUCCGGUGAGGUAGCGCCCACGCCUCGGGCGAGGGAGGAAUCAGCGGCUCCAAUGAGGAAGAAGCUGACAAGGGAGAAGCCGACCGCUCCGGCGAGGUGCAUAUAUAUAUAUAAUUAAUAAAUUAAUCCUCUGCUGUCUAUAUACAUAUAUUAACGCUCUUUAUUUUAGCCCUCCGGAUCGAGAAAAUCUUCAGUACGGAAGAAACGAGGCCCAACCAAGAAGCUGGAUGACAGUGAGAGAUACAGGAUCGAAACAGUCUCAAAUGCCGGGCAACCAAUUGCUCCCACAGAUGUAAAGCAUAAGUUUGUGAAGGUAUGCGGAGUUGUUGUUAGGGACCACAUCCCUAUCACCACUCGAGAAUGGAUUAAGACAAGGGAGGAAGGAGUCUCAUAUAUCGUCACAACAGCCAAAGAAAACCUUUGAAGAAAGCUCAUGCUUCAUUUCACCCUGCCGGCGCGAGAGGUGGAUCCAGAUGAGGAUGAGCCAAAUGAGGAGGAAAUGAAUAGGCGAAAAUAGGCCCUAGAGAAAAAAAGUCAAGGAGUGGGCUGUGAAUAAGAUGGACGAUCUAUUCAGGGUCUGGAAAAAAAUCGCACCAGGAUUUUAUCUUGAAAGAUAAGACUCCAGAUUUUGAUCACGGCUAUGAGAAUAUUAAAGACUACUGGACCGAAUUUGUGGCGUACAAGAAAUCAGAGGACGCCUUGAAAAAGUGUGAAACAAAUAGGAUGGAUGCAGGUAAGAAGAAAUACCACCAUAUUAUGGGGACUGGUGGGUACAUCGCUAAGAUGGCUAAGUGGGAAGGACUUGAGGCAUCAUUUGUGGACAAAAAUAUUACUCCAGAGCCCUUAAGAUGGCUCGAACGGGCAAUAAAAUGGUUUUACGGGCAUGAGGGCUUGUUGGACGCAGACAAUAUAUAACCAAAGACACAAAGAUAAUCCCCUACCCAUCGAGGAGAUUAGACAUGCAGUACAAGAUGUUGAAGAGGGACGAUUCUUACUCGAUAGAGAGAACGACGAGCUCACACGCGCCCUUGGGAAUAAGGAACACAAAGGGCGAGCAAGAGUCUUACCAGGCUCCCCGCCAUGGAUUCUUGCGUUCUCCGAGGAAAGGAAGAGAUUUCCCGAUAGAAGCCAUCAAAGGAGAAAGGAAAAAGAGGCACGUGAUAAAGCGGCUGAGGCAGACCGAGUGCAUAAUCUAGAAGAAGUAGUAAAGCGGCUGUAGCAGGAUCAAAUCGACAGACAACAAGGUAGCGGCAAUCUUAGCGGCUCAUGAUAGAAGCUGCAUCGAAUCGGAAAAGCAGUGUCGCUGCCAUGCAACUCUAGGAUGAGGGUGAUGAUGUACUAACGACGGAUCCUCCUCGUCGCUACCCAGUGGAUGAUAUCACAUAGAGCACACCUUGUCAGCUAAAGGUGAACCUUGCUAACUUAAGGUUAACGGUGGCGGUUGAUGACCCACAAGUAUAGGGGAUCAAUCGUAGUCCUUUCGAUAAGUCAGAGUGUCGAACCCAACAAGGAGCAGAAGGCUGUGAUAAACGGAUUUCAGCAAGGUAAUAACUGCAAGCACUGAAAGUAGCGGUAACAAGUGAUUUGUGUAGCGAGGUGAUACGUAGCCAGCAAAGAGUAACAAGUAACAAGUAGUAGCAACGGUGCAACAAGUGGCCCAAUCCCUUUUGUAGCAAGGGACAAACCUGAAUAAAGUCUUAUAGGAGGAAAAACGCUCCCNNNNNNNNNNNNNNNNNNNNNNNNNNNNNNNNNNNNNNNNNNNNNNNNNNNNNNNNNNNNNNNNNNNNNNNNNNNNNNNNNNNNNNNNNNNNNNNNNNNNNNNNNNNNNNNNNNNNNNNNNNNNNNNNNNNNNNNNNNNNNNNNNNNNNNNNNNNNNNNNNNNNNNNNNNNNNNNNNNNNNNNNNNNNNNNNNNNNNNNNNNNNNNNNNNNNNNNNNNNNNNNNNNNNNNNNNNNNNNNNNNNNNNNNNNNNNNNNNNNNNNNNNNNNNNNNNNNNNNNNNNNNNNNNNNNNNNNNNNNNNNNNNNNNNNNNNNNNNNNNNNNNNNNNNGAUAGUUUGAUAUGUGGAUGGACCGGCGCUUGGGUACUGCCCUUACUUGGACAAGAAUGCCACUUAUGAUUAACCUCUCUCGCAAGCAUACACAACUACGAAAGAAGAAUUAAGACAAAUCUAACCAUAGCAUUAAACUAGUGGAUCCAAAUCAGCCCCUCACGAAGCAACGCAUAGACUGGGGUUUAAGCUUCUGUCACUCCAGCAACCCAUCAUCUACUUACUACUUCCCAAUGCCUUCCUCUAGGUCCAAAUAUGGUGAAGUAUUAUGUAGGCGACGUUCACAUAACACCACUAGAGGAAAAACAACAUACAUCAUAAUAAAAUACCGAAUGAAUAUCAAAUUCACAUGACUAUCAUUAACAUGACUUAUCCCAUGUCCUCAGGAACAAAAGUAACUACUCACAAGACAUAAUAAAAAUCAUGACCAGAGGUGUAAUGAAUAGCAUCAAGGAUCUAAACAUAAACUCUUCCACCAAGUAAUCCAACUAGCAUCAACUACAAAGAGUAAUCAACACUACUAGCAACCUUACAAGUACCAAUCGGAGUCGCGAGACGAAGAUUGAUUACAAGAGAUGAACUAGGGAUUGGAGACGAGAUGGUGCUGAUGAAGAUGUUGAUGAAGAUGCCUCCCCUCCGAUGAGAGGAGUGUUGGUGAUGACGAUGGCGACGAUUCCCCCCUCCGGGAGGGAAGUUUCCCCGGCAGGAUCGUCCUGCCGGAGCUCUAGAUUGGAUCUGCUCAAGUUCCGCCCCGUGGCGGCGGCGAAACCACGAAAAAGCUCCCCUAUGAUUUUUCCGAGGUCAGGACGCAUCUUAUAGCAAAAGAGGGGGGCUAGUGGGCCAGUGGGCUGCCCACAAGCUUGCCCACCGCCACCAGGGGGGUGGUGGCGGAGUGGGGGCUUGUGGGGCCCUGGUGCCCCCCCUCCGGUUGUUCUUCCGCCCAUUAUUUUUAAUAUAUUCCAGAAAAAAUCCACCUAAAUUUUCAGGGCAUUUGGAGAUGUGCAAAAUAGUGGACUAGGAUUUGCUCCUUUUACAGUCCAGAACUCCAGCUGCCUGAAUUGUCCCUCUUCAAAUAAUCCUUGCAAAAUAAGAGAGAAAAGGCAUAAAUAUGGUACCACAAGUAAUAUAACAGCCCCAAAAGCAAUAAAUAUCAACAUGAAAGCAUGAUGCAAAAUGGACGUAUCAGUGUUCCAGCUCAAGAGGUAAAUGACAGGCCUUACCGUAAACCAUUUUAUACGGUGACAUGUCCAUGGGAUUCUUAUAAGCAGUCCUAUAAGCCCAUAGUGCAUCAUAAAGUUUGCUAGACUAGUUCUUUCGAGAUCUAUUGACGGUCUUUUGUAAGAUCAACUUGAUCUCCCUAUUACUCAACUCCACUUGACCACUAGACUGAGGAUGAUAAGGAGAUGCAACUCUAUGGUUGUCAUCAUACUUAGCUAGCAUCUUGCGGAAAACACCAUGAAUGAAGUGUGAACCGCCAUCAGUCAUCAAGUAUCUAGGGACUCCAAAUCUUGGGAAUAUAAUCAAAGCCCCACACAUCAAAUGGUUCAAUGACAAGUGAAUAGUUCAUAGGCAUCUCUUGACGCUUACUGAUGUUCCCUAUCCUUUGGCAUUCGUCACAAGACAAGACAAACUUACGAGCAUCCUUGAAGAGAGUGGGCCAAUAGAAACCUGAUUGCAAUACCUUAUGGGAAGUUCUAUCUCUAGCAUGGUGUCUUCCAUAGGCUUCGGAAUGACACUUCUGCAAGAUCUGCCCUGUUCAUGUUCAGACACACAACGUCUAAUAACACCAUGUGCUCCUUCCUUAUAAAGGUGAGGAUCAUCCCAAAAAUAGUGUCUCAAAUCAAAGAAGAAUUUCUUCUUUUGCUGAUAGGUGAAACUGGGUGGUAUGUAUUUGGCUACGAUAUAGUUUGCAUAAUCGGCAUACCAUGGUGCACUAAGUGAAGUGCCGAUGGCAUUUAGUUGCUCAUCCGGAAAGCUGUCAUCAAUAGGUAGUGGGUCAUCAAGGACAUUCUCUAGCCUAGACAAGUUAUCUGCUACAGGGUUAUCAGCACCCUUUCGGUCAACGACGUGCAAAUCAAAUUCCUGUAGCAGGAGAACCCAUCUGAUCAGCCUAGGCUUAGCGUCCUUCUUCUCCAUGAGGUACUUAAUAGCAGCAUGAUCAGAGUGAAUAGUGACUUUGGAGUCAACUAUAUAAGAUCUGAACUUUUCACAUGCAAACACGACUGCUAAAAAUUCCUUCUCCGUAGUGGCAUAGUUUCUUUGGGCACUGUCUAGAGUUUUACUAGCGUAGUGAAUGACAUUCAACUUCUUGUCAACUCUUUGUCCUAGAACAGCACCAACAGCGUAAUCACUAGCGUCACACAUGAUUUCAAAGGGCAAGUUCCAGACAGGUGGUUGAACAAUAGUUGCAGUUAUCAAAGCCUUCUUCAGUAUUUCAAAGGCUUCCUCACAAUCCUCAUCAAAAACAAAAGGAACAUCCUUCUGCAAGAGGUUGGUAAGAGGCCUAGAAAUCUUAGAGAAGUCUUUAAUGAACCUUCUAUAGAAACCAGCAUGACCUAAGAAACUUCGUAUACCUCUAAUAUCUGUAGGGCAAGGCAUUUUCUCAAUUGCAUCAACCUUAGCCUUAUCAACUUCAAUGCUUCUCUCAGAAAUUUUGUGUCCUAAGACGAUACCUUCAUUAACCAUAAAGUGGCACUUCUCCCAAUUCAAGACGAGGUUGGUUUCUUCGCAUCUCUCUAAGACUCGAUCAAGGUUGCUGAGGCAAUCAUCAAAGGAAGACCCGUAAACGGAGAAGUCAUCCAUGAAAACCUCGAACAAUCUUUUCACAAAAGUUAGAGAAUAUAGCCAUCAUACAUCUUUGGAAGGUGGCAGGUGCAUUACAUAAGCCAAAAGGCAUACAUCUAUAGGCAAAGGUACCGAAAGGGCAGGUGAAAGUGGUUUUCUCUUGAUUAGAUUGUGCAACAGGUAUUUGCGAGAAACCUGAAUAACCGUCUAGAAAGCAGAAGUGUGUGUGCUUUGAUAGCCUUUCUAGCAUUUGGUCGAUGAACGACAAAGGAUAAUGAUCUUUCCUGGUUGCCUUGUUCAGUUUGCGGAAAUCUAUCACCAUUCUAUAGCCGGUAAUAAUCCUUUGUGGGAUUAGUUCAUCCUUAUCAUUAGGAACGACGGUGAUACCUCCCUUCUGAGGUACGCAAUGUACUGGACUUACCCAAUCACUAUGAGCAACAUGAUAAAUGAUUCCUGCUUCCAGAAGCUUUAAUAUUUCUUUUCUAACAACCUCUUUCAUCUUAGGAUUUAAUCUCCUUUGAUGAUCAGCAACUGGUUUAAAGUCAGGAUCGGUUUUAAUCUUGUGGUGACAUAGAGUAGGACUAAUACCCUUAAGAUCAUCAAGAGUAUAUCCAAUAGCAGCGUGGUGCUUCCUCAGAGUUUUUAAUAACUUCUUCUCUUCACGCUCUGAGAGGAGAGCACUAAUAAUGACAUGAUAUAUCUCCUUCUCAUCAAGAUAGGCAUACUUAAGAGUAUCAAGCAACUGGUUAAGCUCGAACACAGGAUCACCCUUCGGUGGGGGAGGAUCCCCAAGCAGUUCAACACACAGAUUAUUCUUGAGAAUAGGAUAUUGUUCUAAGACAAUUUUAUCUAUCUCAUCUCUCUCCUCCAUAUGCAUAUCAUUUUCAUGCUCAAGCAGAUAUUGCUCUAAAGGAUCCGUAGGAGGUACGGCAAUAGAGGCAAGAGCAAUGAUUUCAUCCCUACCAGAUGACUCUCUUUCAUGGGGUUGUCUUCCAAACUUGGAGAAGUUAAAUUCAUGAGACACACCCUCGAAACUAACUGUGAUGGUCUGCUUAAUGCAAUCAUUGUGAGCAUUGACAGUGUUGAGAAAGGGUCUACCAAAUAUGAUGGGACAAAAGCUAUCUUGUGUAGUACCAAGGACGAGGAAAUCAGUAGGAUACUUCGUCUUACCACACAAGACUUCUACGUCUCUCACAAUUCCCAGAGGGCAGAUAGUGUCUCUAUGAGCUAGCGUAAUAGUGACAUCAAUGGGUUCUAACUCAGCAGGUGCAAUCUCAUCUUUGAUUUCAUCAUAUAGAGAACGGGGUAUUGCACUAACACGAGCUCCCAUAUCACAUAAACCAUGGUAACAGUGAUCUCCUAUCUUAACAGAAACAACGGGCAGGCCAACUACAGGUCCGUGUUUGUCUUUCGUGUGAGGUUUAGCAAUUCUAGCGGAGUCCUCACAGAAUUUUAUAACAUGCCCAUCUAUGUAUUCGGCUAAGAGAUCUUUGAUAAUAGAAACACUAGGUUCAACUCUAAUCUCUUCAGGGGGUGCAAGUGGUCUAAUGUAACCCCUACGUAUCACAGUUGGAGCCUUAGAAUAAUCCUUUAUCCUAGCAGGGUAUGGUGGUUUCUCAGUGUAAGCACAAGGAACAACAGGAUCACUAAAAGUUAUGAUUUUCUCCUUAACUAGAUUGGUUUUGGCUAUGUUGCUUUCUACAGGAGGAUGAUAUUUAAACCACUUAUCUUUGGGAAGAUCAACAUGAGCAGCAAAAGAUUCACAUAGAGAAGCUACUAUCUCAGAGUCAAGUCCAUACUUAGCGCUAAAAUCUCUAGAAGUGUUUGUCUCAACAAAAGAUUUAACGCAAUCAAACUGGAAAUUCAUACCUGACUCCUUACCUUCCUCCAGCUCCCAAUCUUCAGAGUUGCGCUUGAUUCUCUUCAAUAAAUUCCACUUGUGAUCAAUAUCCUUCUUCAUAAAAGAACCGACACAAGAAGUGUCAAGCAUGGUACGAUCUUCAUGAGAAAGCCGAGCAUAAAAGUUUCGAGUGAUGAUUUCUCUCGAGAGCUCAUGAUUGGGGCAUGAAUAUAGCAUUGAUUUAAGCCUCCCCCAAGCUUGAGCUAUGCUUUCCCUGUCACGAGGCCAAAAUUUAUAAAUAAAGUUCCGAUCACGAUGUACUAAAUGCAUAGGAUAGAACUUUUGAUGAAAUUCCAAUUUCAACCGAUUGUAGCCCCAUGAUCCAAUAUCAUCACAUAGCCUAUACCAUGUCAACGCCUUAUCCUUCAAAGAUAAAGGAAAGACUUUCUUCUUUACCUCAUCCUCGGGCAAACCUGCAAGCUUAAAUAAACCACAAACUUCAUCUACAUAGAUUAGACGCAAGUCUGGAUGUGAAGAUCCAUCUCGUGUAAAAGGAUUAGCCAACAGUUUCUCAAGCAUACCCGAAGGAAUUUCAUAAAAUAUAUUUUUAGUAGGUACCUCAGGUUGAGGAGAAACUCCUCGUGCUUCCGUUCGUGGUGAAGAUACCCCGAACAAACUACUCAAAGGAAGAGUUUCCAUAGUGACAAGUGACAAUAAAUUUUAGCACAUUAUAAAUAUGUUUCCUUACCAAUUUCCACUUACCAAAGGCGCUUCACUCCCCGGCAACGGCGCCAGAAAAUAUUCUUGAUGACCCACAAGUAUAGGGGAUCAAUCGUAGUCCUUCCUAUAAGUAAGAGUGGCGAACCCAACAAGGAGCAGAAGGCUCUCAUAAACGGAUUUCAGCAAGGUAAUAACUGCAAGCACUGAAAGUAGCGGUAACAAGUGAUUUGUGUAGCGAGGUGAAACGUAGCAAGCAAAGAGUAACAAGUAACAAGUAGUAGCAACGGUGCAGCAAGUGGCCCAAUACCUUUUGUAGCAAGGGACAAACCUGAACAAAGUCUUAUAGGAGGAAAAACGCUCCCGAGGACACACGUGAAUUUCUGUCAUGCUAGUUUCAUCAUGUUCAUAUGAUUCGCGUUCGUUACUUUGAUAGUUUGAUAUGUGGGUGGACCGGCACUUGGGUACUGCCCUUACUUGGACAAGCAUCCCACUUAUGAUUAACCUCUCUCGCAAGCAUCCGCAACUACAAAAGAAAAAUUAAGACAAAGUCUAACCAUAGCAUUAAACUAGUGGAUCCAAAUCAGCCCCUCACGAAGCAACACAUAGGCUGGGGUUUAAGCUUCUGUCACUCCAGCAACCCAUCAUCUACUUACUACUUACCAAUGCCUUCCUCUAGGCCCAAAUAUGGUGAAGUGUUAUGUAGUCGACAUUCACAUAACACCACUAGAGGAAAAAACAACGUACAACAUAACAAAAUACCUAAUGAAUAUCAAAUUCACAUGACUAUUAUUAACAUGACUUAUCCCAUGUCCUCAGGAACAAAAGUAACUACUCACAAGACAUAAUCAUAAUCAUGACCAGAGGUGUAAUGAGUAGCAUCAAGGAUCUGAACAUAAACUCUUCCACCAAGUAAUCCCACUAGCAUCAACUAUAAAGAGUAAUCAACACUACUAGCAACCUUACAAGUACCAAUCGGAGUUGCGAGACGAAGAUUGGUUACAAGAGAUGAACUAGGGGUUGGAGAGGAGAUGGUGCUGAUGAAGAUGUUUAUCAAGAUGCCUCCCCUCCGACGAGAGGAGUGUUGGUGAUGACGAUGGCGACGAUUUCCCUCUCCGAGAGGGAAGUUUCCCCGGCAGGAUCGUCCUGCCGGAGCUCUAGAUUGGAUCUGCUCAAGUUCCGCCUCGUGGCGGCGGCGAAACCACGAAAAAAAGCUCCCUGUUGAUUUUUUCCAGACCAGGAUGCUUCAUAUAGCAAAAGAGGGGGGCUAUUGGGCCUUCAGGCAGCCCACAAGCUUGCCCACCGCCACCAGGGGGGUGGUGGCAGAGUGGGGGUUUGUGGGGCCCUGGUGCCCCCCUCCGGUAGUUCUUUCGCCCAGUAUUUUUAAUGUAAUUCAUUAAAAAUCCACGUAAAGUUUCAGGGCAUUUGGAGAAGUGCAGAAUAGUGGACUAGGAUUUGCUCCUUUUCCAGUCCAGAAUUCCAGCUGCUUGAAUUCUCCCUCUUCAAAUAAUCCUUGCAAAAUAAGAGAGAAAAGGCAUAAAUAUAGUACCACAAGUAAUAUAACAGCCCAAAAAGCAAUAAAUAUCAACAUGAAAGCAUGAUGCAAAAUGGACGUAUCAGCGGUCGGCAUGGCCAUACCAAUUGGACGUAAUCCAACUUGGCAUUGCUCUCCGGUUCCACAAGGGUACGCUGUCGUCACGGUGGAUGAAGUGAUGAAAUAUUAUGAGGAGCUGAAGCUCGACCACCCUGCAGGUGAAGAUAGGGAUUUGACUCAACUUGGAGAAGUCAAGAAACAAACCGUUGUAUGGCCAAAGGAAGACAUCUUCCUUCCAAAUUGGACGCCAAGGCCACCGACUCCUCAUAGCAGCAAUCCUUCUUCGCCUCCACCUCACCGGUCUCCAGCGCAACCGUCGUCUUCGCCGCCUCACCAAUAUCCAGCGCAACCGUCGUCUUCGCCGCCUCACCAGUCCCCAGCGCAGCCGUCUUCACCGCCGCAUCAGCCGUCUCCACCGCCCCGUCAGCCGUCUCCAUCCACUGGGGAUCAGAGCAAAAAGCGGAAACAUACCCCACUAGUAGUGGCGGCAUAAAGGGGAUCCGAUCACCAAAACGUAAGUUGUCGCCCCUCCCAAAAGUACCUCAUAAGAAUAUGGUGAAGAGACCUUGGGACUAUACUAGAGAGGACAAUAUUAAGAGGGCAGACGCCCAUCAUGAACAGUGGAAGGCUCAAGUGGCUAACAAGAAUAAACCGAAAGAGCUAGAGUACCCGACCACCCCAGAAGAUCACGCCGCGUGCGUGAAAAUGCUGAAAAACCUUGCAGAUCCCACGCCACCGUUGCCAGCAGACUAUGAACGCUCUAUUAUCAAGUCGACUCAGGCAAAAAAACAGCGGUUGAAGAGUAGUACGUCCAGCGGGAAAUCAGUUGCCCAACUCGGACAACAGAAAAACCAAUCGCGCCCCCCCGCUCAGAGUGUAUUCCGAUACAAAUGUGUGCUCGAGCGGAGCUGCAGUCCAUCAGAGGAAUGAUGAAACAGCUGACAUCGAUCCGGAAUUUCUUGCACAAUACGGAGAAGCGGCCAAGGCUCAAGGCAUGUCUAUUGAUGAGUACUUAAACCAUUUGGAGGUAUUCACUGACGUAGAAUACACGUACUGGUAUGUGCGUCCUCUGGUCAAAUCUGAGUUAGUCAACGAGCUACCAACAAAAAUGCAAAGAUUGCAUGACUGGUACAUGCAAGCAUGUGAUAAACAGAAAAACUGGAUCUACGUUGCAUAUGAAGACGAGCAUUUCGGGACUGGACGAGGCGUGAUUAUGAUUGAAUUCGACGAAUUAUUUCAGUUAUACAAACAAGACGCCCUCGACAAAUCUAUCAUCAGUGCCUAUUGUUUGUAUGUAUUAUUAAUUUAUGUCAUGAAGUCUUACUCAUCUCGUUCUUGCAUGUAUAAUCUUACUCAUCACUAUAUUAAUUUUGCAGAAUGAAGAUUCUCGAAUGCAAAACAGGACAAAUCUAUGACAUUGAGUUCAUUGACCCAUAUUACAAUCAUCACCAAAGUGUCGAAACGACUCCCCGCGAGACAGAGAAUAACUUGGUACAAGGGUUAAGGUUUUGCAGUACCAAAAGGGAAAUACUAUUUCCUUACAACUUCAAGUGAGUGUUACUAUACACACAUUCUAUUUUCACUUACUCGAUGUUAUUAUAAGUGUACAUAUAAUUGACUCGUUAUGCGCGCGUAGGUUCCACUUUAUUUUGUUAAUUAUUGUACCCAACGAGGGACAAGUAAUAGUCAUGGACCCGAAACGCACACCCAUCCUUGAAUGGACGAACAUGCAGGAAUGCCUCCAGAGGCAAUUUCAAUCAUUAUGACACUAUAUCGGCAACUUCUCGUUCAUUUCCUGAUAGCAAGGAAUUAAUAUAGAACUCCUUUAUUGAUUUCAUUUUCUUGGCAGGGUUUGGAAACGGUUCACCGCCAAGGCUCGAGGUGAUUGGAAGCCAGAGCUUACAUUUAAACAAAUAUAUGUAAGUAACUACUAGCUAGAUCCGCGCAUCUCUUUAUUCUAGUUUCAAUACCAUUAUAAUUCUUGAUUAUGUUUUUGAUUGAACUCUGUUCUCGUAAAGUGCUUGAGGCAGGAACACGUGAACAAUUUAUGUGGAUACUAUGUUUGCGAGUUCAUUCGCCACAUGACCCAUCAGAAGGGCAAAACCCGGGACAUAAAAAAAAUCGAAGUACGAUAAACAAUACUCACAGCUUUAUUUUAUUACCAUGAAUUGUGUUCGGUUUCAUUGAUAUAUAUAUAUAUUGACCCAUUCUUUAAAUUAGAUCGAACGGUUACGGGACGGUCUUCUACCACAGGAACGUGUACGAGCAAUUCAAGAGGAAAUUGCUGGAUUCUUUGAUGCAGAGGUCCUAGAUCCCAAGGGAGAAUACUAUUGCCAUUCGAUGGAUAAGAUAUGAAAUGAUAGUGUAAAAAAGAUGCAUAUAUGUGCAUGUAACUCGUGUCUACAUUUUGUAAAUACGUUCAACAAAGCACGACAUAUGAGAUGGUGUAAUAUAUUCAUGACGAUGUGCAAUAUAGUUGUUCCUUUAUUGUUUUGUAUGUACAAUCCAAUUUAGUGCAAAACAAAAAUUAAAAAAUGCCCAAAACAAAUAAAUGGGAAAAUAGAGGGCAACAAAAUAGCCUCAUCCAAUUCAGUGCAAAAUCCUAAACCCAAAAAUUGCUUUAAAAAACAGCGAAGAAAUAGCCCCGGUUCGCAAUACGAACCGGGACUAAUACCCCUCCCCCUCGCUCCCAGCCCCCUCACGUGGAAGGCCAUUAGCCCCGGUUCGGGACCGAACCGGUGCUAGCAUUAGUCCCGGUUGAUUAGUCCUGGUUCGCGAACCGGGACUAAUGGCCCAACCGAACUGGGGCUGAAGGUCCUUUUUCUACUAGUGUAUGGAUAUGAUGUACGUAUUUGCGUUCAUAGGGUUGAGUGUAUGCACGUUAUAUGAGCAUUUACGUCUGUACUGUUAAAAAAAGCAGUUGUGACUUACACAAAUAUCAAUUACGUUUUAACUCUGAAACUUGAUAGAGUUACAAAAGACUAAGAAAAUUUUAAAUUUCACAUGCAAAAUCAUACUCCCUUCGUUUUUAAAUGUUUUUUUAAUAUUUACUAAAUGAAUACAUACGAAUAUAUAUAUAGACAUAUUUUAAAGUAUAGGUUCACUUAUUUUGUUUCGUAUGUAUUUUUUUAAUAAAAUAUCAAAAAAUUAUAUUUAGAAAUAAAGGGAGUAAGUUUCAAACAUCCAAACUUAAACUAUUUUAUGAAUCACGAGGCAAUCAGAUGGCCGAGCCGGGAUGGUCCUCCGUUUCAUCAUCAAUCAAAAGAAGGAAAAAUAGCUGUCGAUGCUUUCUGUGCUUGCAUCAUGUCCGGACGUUGCCUGAAGGAGAGGAGCCUACCUCGGCGCAAAUCCGUGCUCGUCCACCGCUCAAUGAUGCGUGGCAUAUACGCCGGCCGUAGCUUAGUUAUAGCUAGGGGAAUGAAAUUCCCAUUCCCGGCCCAGGCAGGCUAGCUCUAUCGGCCACUCGUCACGGCCGGAGACACGGAGAUCAAGCUGCUUCAAAAGCGGUAGAUCAGCCACGGUACGUGUUCCUCGGGGAGGAAGGGCCCGGCACGGACGUGUUCCUCGUGUCUCCCCCCUGCUUGUCGCGCACUAUAGACACCUAAGCUUCGCCUAUUUGCGCGCAUUGCUUACUGCACCGGCGACCCGUAUGAGUUAUGCUAACAGUAUCAUAUAAUAACAUCAUGCAUAAAAUAUUAUAUAAGUUUUUAAGAGAUUUUACUAGGGGUCUACAUACGAAGCAAAAUGAGUGAAUAUACACACUAAAGUAUGUCUAUAUACAUCCGUAUGUAGUCUACUAGUGGAAUCUCUAGAAAGACUUAUAUUUAGAAAAGGAGGAAGUAUUAUAUGAUUCUGUUUUUAUAAAGUAUAGUAUCAUAAACUAGUAUCAUAGAUGAUCUUAUUUAUUAAAUGUAUGUUACAUAGUAGAAUAACAUUUAAUAUUAUACGAUAUUUAUCUAUGUUACUAUAACCUUUUUUUUAAUUAUUUGUCACAUCAACAUGUCUGUUAGACCCAAAUGCAUGAUACUAGCUAUGAUACCUUUACUAUGACCAGCCUUAGAAUCUCGAAUCUCCAAGAAAAAUCAUACUACCUAGUUUAAUGGUCCCUCGUAAUCUAGAUCAUAUUUUAAUUAUGAUUUUAAUCAUUAUUCAAAAAAUCGCUAGACUCAGCGAUUUAUCGUCCGAUUUAUCGCUACUCAUGGGUGAUCGAUAAAUUUAUGCCUUAUCUUUAUCGUUUAUCUUUUGAGCCGAUUUAUUACUCUGACAAGCGAUUUAGCGAAAAUCUUCCGAUAAAUCAAGCCUAUUUCUAGCACUAUGUUUGUAAAAAUUAUGUUUAUUUGUGAUUUUUUGAACUUUGUUAUACAGUAUGUAAUAUUUCUUUAUUCUGUUUGUCAUUAUACGAGGAUUUGGAUACUAGGAAUCAAGGUAACACUUCUCUUCAAUAUAUUUUUGAUGUUAAAUAUAGCAUGUUUCAGUAUUGAAACCUGAAAUUUACAAAAAUAAUAAUUGAUUAAUAGUCAACCGAUAAAAUAGAUUAAUCGGCUGACUAAUUUCUAAUCCCCGGUUGACUGAGACGAUAACGAUAAGCGAUAUCUUUAAUAUUUUUAACUAAUAAAAUAUAAAUCAUACAUAAAUCAUACCACCUACGUCCUGAAAGGGGUGUCACCCCGGUUGGAAAAAACCCUACGUCCUGGUUUACUUGGAAAUCUCGCAAUGAUUUGUCGCUGCGGCAGGAGUUGGAUCGCCGCUAGCAAGUGAUGGAGAUCAGGAUGACAGCAGCCCCCGCAAAUGGUAGCAAGACACUACACGGAGGAUCGAACGGCUUCGGUUUUCUUGUUCUGCCGUAGUCUAGUGUGGCCCGGUUCGACGAGACUUCUAUGCCGCUCGAGCGUCGCCUCUAUUUUUUCCUUUAUGCAGCUACGAACCUAAUCACCGGAAGAUAUCAUCAAAUCGUGUCUCUUGUAUCAAAAUCAAACCAGCCAAUGAAGUCCACGGGAGGUGCGCGCGGCAUAUAGACAUGUUGCCUCAUGUCGACCAAUCGAUCUCAGCUUAUCCUCGAAAGGAAACACGGCGAAAGGGAGCCUCCACUACUUGGCGCGCUAGGUUAGCUGCUCGCUUAUCUCCCGCCUCUUUUCGCAGGGGAUAACGUCGCACUUGGAUUAGAAAAUGGGAUCCUGCUCCCUCUCCGUAUCCUCUCCCGAUCGAUGGGUCUCUCGUCUUUUCGCACGGCUAGAAAUGCUGCUUCAUUUAUACCUUACCUAUCUAGAAAGGUAGCAUCGAUGGAUCGGUUGGGCAGGAGGCUCGAGCGUGCAUGCAUGUGACAGAUCACUGGUAAGAUCGGCGGGAUCACGGAGGUGUUACCCUAGCUAGCUUGAUCGAGUCCUGAGUCUUGACGCAAUGAUCAUUCGCUGCAAAUUGUAUACAUAUAGAAGCCUAGAUAUAUCAACUUGUGCUUCCCACUGGCCGUAAAGCAAAGCAAACCUGAUCGAUCACUACAGGCUUGGUAGAUCGAGAAGCCGCACGAAAGAAAGAAAACAUUGUUAGUGCCUCAUCAGUUAGUUCCGACUUCCGAGAGAUGCCGGCCGGCCGCGACAUCGAUCUUUGAGAACGACGGCUGCACUAGUUGAGGAUACGGCAUGCGCGCUCCUCCUGUUCAACCAGUGGACAGUGGUGUCGUGCGUAUAGCAUAGAGAGUCUUGUGUCAAACACUGUCCAUUGAUCAACCCUACCGGCCCCUACUAUGAGGGUUCAAAGUACAUUUGAUGGUGAAUGGUCUCCAGCUCUUUCUUUACCGGAAAUCCAAUUCAAUCAGUUCCACUAUUCAGAUGCCAGAUUCAACAUAGCUCCAUGUUUGAACUGUUUUCUUUUCGUAGGAGCACAAAGAUGGUCGCACUCGCACGCAACUCCACGCAAAUACUAAAAGAUGCAGGCCGGCAAACUGAGCAUGGCUCAAAUGGUUAGUUCUUUUUAUGAUGUAACCAGUCUAUCAAGAUAAAGUCCUAGACUUAGCACUCGUGUUCCCAUUUUUUAAAUUUAUUUUAGCCUUUUGAGUGAUGUUUGUUCAGCCGAAGGAAAAGUUCCAGUCGACUAUAAAGGUGUCAGCGGUAAGGUCGUCAAUCUCAAGAUGUUGUGCUGGCUAAGUAUUUCGACGGCAUGGCAGGCUAUCCAGCAUGGCCUUGAGCUCCUGAAAAAGGGUAUCAUCUGACGGGUUGGAAAUGGCCAGGACAUUCACAUAUGGCGGGACCGUUGGCUGCUGCGCGAACCCUCCUGCUGACCCAUCACUCAGUAGGGGACCUGCCGCAUAUGACGGGUGGCUGAGCUCCUUGACACUCAAGGCUCUUGGCGCACCGACUUACUUCCAGCCACCAUUCCUGCGGGUAGAUAUUGCCGUCAUCACCUACAUCAGGACUUCACCGCACAUCACCGAUGAUAUCAUCGCAUGGGCGCUGGAGAAGAACUAUGUCUUCACCAUUCGAUCCGUGUACCAUCUGACAAUGGAUGAGCGCGAGCGUCCAUUGGUACGGCAUGCACGCUCCUCUUGUUCAACCAGUGGACAGUGGUGUCGUGCGUAUAGCAUAGAGAGUCUCGUGUCAAACACUGUCCAUUGAUCAACCCUAUCGGCCCCUACUACCAGGGUUCAAAGUACAUCUGAUGGUGAAUGGUCUCCAGCGCUCCCUUUACCGGAAAUCCUAUUCGACCGGUUCCACUAUUCAAAUGCUAGAUUCAGACAUAGCUGCAUGUUUGAACUGUUUCCUUUUUGUAGGAGCACAAGAUAGUCGCACUCGCAAGCAACUCCACACAAAUACUAAAAGAUGCAGGCCGACAAACUGAGCAUGGCUUAAAUGGUUAGUUUUUUUAUGGUGUAACCAGUCUAUCAAGAUAAAGUCCUAGACUUAGCACUCAUGUUCGCAUUUUUUGAAAUUUAUUUUAGCCUUUUCGGUGAUGUUUGUUCAGCCCAAGGAAAAGUUCCAAUCGACUAUAAAGGUGCCCGCGAUAAGGUCGUCAAUCUGAAGAUGUUGUGCUGGCUAAGUAUUUCGAAGGCAUGGCAGGCUAUCCAGCAUGGCCUCGAGCUCCUGAAAAAGGGUAUCAUCUGACGGGUUAGAAACGGCCAGGACAUCCGCGUAUGGCGGGACCGUUGGCUGCUGCGGGAACCCUCCUGCCGACCCAUCACUCAGUAGGGGACCUACCGCAUAUGACGGGUGGCUGAGCUCCUUGACACUGAAGGCUCUUGGUGCACCGACUUACUUCCAGCCACACUUCCUGCCGAUAGACGUUGCCAUCAUCACCUACAUCAGGACUUCACCACACAUCACCGAUGAUAUCAUCGCAUGGGCGCUGGAGAAGAACGGUAUCUUCACCGUUUGAUCUGUGGGCCGUCUGAUAAUGGACGAGCGCGAGCGUCCAUUGGUACGGCAUGCACGCUCCUCUUGUUCAACCAGUGGACAGUGGUGUCGUGCGUAUAGCAUAGAGAGUCUCGUGUCAAACACUGUCCAUUGAUCAACCCUAUCGGCCCCUACUACCAGGGUUCAAAGUACAUCUGAUGGUGAAUGAUCUCCAGCGCUUCCUUUACCGGAAAUCCAAUUCGAUCGGUUCCACUAUUCAGAUGCCAGAUUCAGACAUAACUGCAUAUUUGAACUGUUUUCUUUUCGUAGGAGCACAAGAUAGUCGCACUCGCAUGCAACUCCACGCAAAUACUAAAAGAUGCAGGCCGGCAAACUGAGCAUGGCUCAAAUGGUUAGUUUUUUAUGGUGUAACUAGCCUAUCAGGUUAUAGUCCUAGACUUAGCACUCCUGUUCGCACUUUUUAAAUUUAUUUAAGCCUUUUCGGUGAUGUUUGUUCAGCCGGAGGAAAAGUUCCAGUCGACUAUAAAGGUGCCCGCGGUAAGGUUGUCAAUCUGAAGAUGUUGAGUUGGCUAAGUAUUUCAAAGGCAUGGCAGGCUAUCCGGCAUGGCCUCGGGCUCCUGAAAAAGGGCAUCAUCUGACGGGUUGGAAACGGCCAGGAUAUUUGCGUAUGGCGGGACCGUUGUGUGCCGCGUGAACCCUCCCAUCGACCCAUCACUCAGUAGGGGACCUACCGCAUAUGACGGAUGGCUGAGCUCCUUGACACUGAAGGCUCUUGGCGCAUCGACUUAGUUCCAGCCACACUUCCCGCCGGUAGAUGUUCUAGUCAUCACCUACAUCAGGACUUCACCACACAUCACCGAUGAUAUCAUCGCGUGGGCGCUGGAGAAGAACGACAUCUUCACCGUCCGAUCCGCGUACCGUCUGACAAUGGACGAGCGCGAGCGUCCAUUGGCCACCGACACGAGCAGGGGGCCGUAUGGUCGUCGCGCCAUCUGGAAGAUCAUAUGGGAUGCCCUGCUCCCCAAAGGUACGCAUGUUUGUAGGGAGGGUCGUCACGAGUUCUCUUGCUACUUGGGAUAACAAAGCUUCACGACGUCUUGAGGUGACUAAUGUUUGUGUUGGGGAACGUUGCAUGCGAAACAAAAAUUUUCCUACGCGCACAUAGGAUCCAUCCAUGGUGAUGACCAUCUACGAGAGGAGAGAUUGGAUCCACAUACCCUUGUAGAUCGCUAAGCAGAAGCGUAUAUAACGCGGUUGAUGUAGUGGAACAUCUUUGCGAUACAAAUCGCAGCCUGUCCCGCGAUCUCAUCACGAUCCGUCCCACGAUCCCAUGACGAUCCGUCCCGCGAUCUCAUCAAGAUCCUUCCCAAUCUAGUGCCGAACGGAUGGCACCUCCGCGUUCAGCACACGUACAGCUCGAUGACGAUCUCCGCCUUCUUGAUACAACAAGAGGGCGGAGAGGUAGAUGAUUUAUCCAACACAGUGGUGUGGUGGUGGUGGUGGUGAACUAAUCCAGCAGGGCUUCGCCAAGCUCUUCUAAACUAAUCUAGAGGAGAAAACGACGUAGAGAGAGAGAUGGCAGCACGUGGCUAAUUAGGGUUAGGGCUGCCCUCAGAUCCUCUAAUAUAUAUAGGAGGGAGGGAGGGGAGGAGGAAGCCUCAAAACCCUCAAAGGGUUCGGCCGAAGUGGAGGAGGUGGAAGAGUCCACCUCCAAUCCUACUCCUAGUAGGAUUCCUUCCUUCCCCACUUGUGUUUCUUUCCUUCCCACCUCCUAGCCGCAUUGGGCCUUAGUGGGGGGUUCGGCGAGCCCACUAGGUGCUGGUCCACGUCCUCCCACAGCCCAUGAGAACCUUUGAGGUGGGUGGGCCCACCUGGUGGACCCUCGGAACCCACUCGUCACUCUCGGUCACUCCGGAAAUGCCCGAAUCUUUUUUGGAGUUCAAAAACCACUUACUUUAUAGCAAUAUUUACCUCCGGAUCAUUCUGGUGCUCCUCGUGACGUCCAAGAUCUCAUCCGGGACUCCAAACAACCUUCGUUCACCAACAUACAUAACUCAAUAAUACCAAAACGUCAUCGAACCUUAAGUGUGCAGACCGCGCGGGUUCGAGAACUAUGGAGAUAUGACCUGAGACAUUCUCCGGUCAAUAAAAAAUAGCGGGACCUGGAUGCCCAUAUUGGCUCCUACAUAUUCUACGAAGAUCUUUAUCGGUCGAACCUGUAUGUCAAGGAUUCAGUUAAUCCCGUAUACUAUUCCCUUUGUCCAUCAGUAUGUUACUUGCCCGAGAUUUGAUCGUCAGAAUCUCUAUACCUAGUUCAAUCUCGUUACUGGCAAGUCUCUUUACUCGUUCCAUAAUACAAGAUCCCGUGACUAACUCCUUAGUCACAUUCCUUGCAAGGCUUAUUGUGCUUUUGUAUUACCGAGUUGGCCCCGAGAUACCUCUCCGUCACACGGAGUGAUAAAUCCCAGUCUUGAUCCAUGCCAACCCAACAGAUACCUUCAGAGAUACUUGUAGAGCACCUUUAUAGUCACCCAGUUACGUUGUGAUAUUUGAUACACACUAGGUAUUCCUCCGGUGUCCGGGAGUUGCAUGAUCUCCUGGUCAUAGGAACAGAUACAUUGACAUGUAGAAAACAGUAGCAAUAAACUGACGCGAUCAUAUGCUACGUUCAUAGUUUGGGUCUUGUCUAUCACAUCAUUUUCCUAAUGAUGUGACCCCGUUAUCAAAUGACAACACUUGUCUACGACCAGGAAACCUUGAGCAUCUUUGAUCAACGAGCUAGUCAACUAGAGGCUCACUAGGGACAGUGUGUUGUCUAUGUAUCCACACAUGUAUUUGAGUUUCCAAUCAAUACAACUCUAGCAUGGAUAAUAAACAAUUAUCAUGAACAAGGAAAUAUAAUAAUAACCAAUUUAUUAUUUCCUCUACGGCAUAUUUCCAAUAGCUCCCACUUGCACUAGAGUCAAUAAUCUAAUUCACAUUACUAUGUGAUUGCAAUGAAUCUAACACCCAUACAGUUCUGGGGUUCGAACAUGUCUUGCUUGUGAGAGAGGUUUUUAGUCAGCGGGUCCGAAACAUUCAGAUCCGUGUGUACUUCACAAAUCUCUAUGUCAUAUUGUAGAUCCUUCUACCAUGCUUCACUUGGAACAAUUCCAACGACUAUUGUACUAUAUGAAUCCGGUUUACUACUUAGAGUUAUCCGGAUUAGUGUCAAAGCUUGCAUAUACGUAACCCUUUACGAUGAACUAUUUUAUCACCUCCAUAAUCGAGAAAAAAAAAACUUAGUCCACUAGUUUCUAAGGAUAACUUUGACCGCUGUCCAGUGAUUCAUUCCUGGAUCACUCUGGUACCCCUUGACAAACUCAUGGCAAGGCACUCAUGAGGUGCGGUACACGGCAUGGCAUACUUUAGAGCCUACGGCUAAAGCAUAGGGGACGACCUUCAUCCUUUCUAUUUCUUCUGCCGUGGUCGGGCUUUAAGUCUUACUCAAUAUUCUCACCUUACAACACAGCCAAGAACUCCUUCUUUGGCUGAUCUAUUUUGAACUCUUUCAAAAUCUUCUCACGGUAUGUAUUCAUUUGAAAGUUCUAUUAAGUGUUUUGAUCUAUCUCUAUAGAUCUUGAUGCUCAAUGUUCAAGUAGCUCAAUCUAGGUUUUCCUUUGAAAAACACUUUUCGAACAACCCUAUAUGCUUUCCAGAAAUCCUACAUUAUUUCCGAUCAACAAUAUGUCAACCACAUAUACUUAUCAGAAAUUCUAUAGUGCUCCCACUCACUUCCUUGGAAAUGCAAGUUUCUCAUAAACCUUGUAUAAACCCAAAAGCUUUGAUCAUCUCAUCAAAGCGUAUAUUCCAACUCUGAGAUGCUUGAUCCAGUCCAUAGAAGGACCACUGGAGCUUGCAUACUUGUUAGCAUCCCUAGGAUCGACAAAACCUUCUGGUUGUAUCACAUACAACCUUUCCUCAGGGAAACGAUGUUUUGACAUCCAUCUGCCAGAUUCCAUAAACAAAAAAAUACAACAAGUGCUAACAUAAUUCCAACAGACUUUAGCAUCGCUACGAGUGAGAAAGUCUCAUCAUAGUGAACUCUUUGAACUUGUUAGAAACAUCUUUGCGACAUGCCAAGCUUUCUUAAUGGUGACGUUCACCAUCAUCGUCCGUCUUCCUCUUAAAGAUCCACUUCUACUUAAUAGCCUUACGACCAUCAAGUAGUUCUUCCAAAGUCUACACUUUGUUUUCAUACAUGGAUCCUAUCUCGGAUUUCAUGGCCUUCAGCCAUUUGUCGGAAUCCGGGCCCACCAUCGCUUCUCCAUAGCUCGUAGGUUCAUUGUUGUCCAACAACAUGACCUCCAUGAUAGGAUCACCGUACCACUCUGGAGUAGUACGUAUCCUUCUCGACCUACGAGGUUCGGUAGUAACUUGAUCCGAAGCUUCAUGAUCACCAUCAUCAGCUUCCACUUCAAAUGGUGUAAGCGCCACAGGAACAAUUUGCUGUGCCCUUCUACUAUCUUGUUGAAGUGAUGGUUCAAUAACCUCAUCAAGUUCCACCAUCCUCCCACUCAAUUCUUUUGAGAGAAACCUUUUCUCGAGAAAGGACCCUUUUCUGGAAACAAACACUUUGCUUUCAGAUCUGUGAUAGGAGGUAUUCCCAACUGUUUUGGGUAUCCUAUGAAGAUGCAUUUAUCCGCUUUGGGUUCGAGCUUAUCAGGCUGAAACUUUUUCACAUAAGUGUCGCAGCCCCAAACUUUUAAGAAACGACAGCUUAGGUUUCUCUAAACCAUAGUUGAUAUGGUGUCAUCUCAAUGAAGUUACGUGGUGCCCUAUUUAAAAGGAAUGCGGUUGUCUCUAAUGCCUAACCCAAAAAACGACAGUGGUAAUUCGAUAAGAGACAUCAUAGUAUGCACCAUAUCCAAUAAGGCGCGGCUAUGACGUUCGGACACACCAUCACACUAUAGUGUUCCAGGUGGGAUGAGUUGUGAAACAAUUUUCACAUUGUCUUAAAUGUUUACCAAACUCGCAAAUCAGAUAUAUAUUUACCCCCACGAUCACAUCGUAGACAUAUCAUCCUCUUGGCACGACGAUCUUCAACUUCACUCUAAAAUUUCUUUGAACUUUUCAAUAUUUCAGACUUUGUGAUUCAUCAAGCAAAUACACUUGUAUCUACUCGAAUCAUCAGUGAAGUAAGAACAUAAUGAUAUUCACUGCGUGCCUCGGCACUCAUUGGACUACAUACAUCAAAAUGUAUUAUUUCCAACAAGUCACUUGCUCGUUCCAUCUCACCGAAAACGAGGCCUUCAGUCAUCUUGCCCAUGUGGCAUGAUUUGCAUGUCUCAAGUGAUUCAAAAUCAAGUGAGUCUAAGAGAUCCAUUUGCAUGGAGUUUCUUCAUGCGUUUACACCAAUAGGCAUGGUUCACAUGUCUCAAACGAUUCAAAAAUGAGUGAGUCCAAAGAUCCAUCAGCAUUGUAACGACCAAGAUGCGGUCCUUUCCGAUCUGGGGGUUGAGGCCCCCGAAUAGGAAAGAAGCGCAUCUAAGCGUUUCGCAAGCAAGUAACAUAGCACAAAAUAAUAAUACAAGUAGACAAUUCGGGAUUCAACUGUCUUCUUAUUAAUAACUCAGAGUACAACACAGAUACAAACAAGGUAGUUUCGGUACGGACUACAAAACAUGGAAAAUGCUAUGCUACCCUGCUGCAGGCCCACGAUCACGACCACGGCUCAGUCCUCUGGAUAGUUCACGUAGAGGCGGUCUGUCUCCUCGUCGUACUGCCACGCCAGCUGGGUGCCGUCGGGAUCAUCUGUCUCUGGGGUACCUGUACCUGCUGGGAGUUUCAGAGGAAUCCGUGAGCCACGGGGACUCAGCAGUCUAAGACCUUGGUGCCAGAACUAGUCAUGUUAUUGGGUAGGGAAGGGAGAAGUGUAUCAGGCUGCUGCAUCCUAUGUUUGAAUAAGUGGCUAACGUACGCAAAAGAGAAGUGAAGGUGGUCUACGCUAACGGUCGGGAUUACUUGAUCAGUAAGUGAUCCUGAACACCUACCUACGACAUUCAUAACCCCACCGUGUUCCCGAUCGAAGUGAGAUCUUCAAAGGGACGGUCACGGUUACGCACACAGUUGGAAGUUUUAUUAGUUUAUGUUUAAGUUCUCUAAUACCGGAUGUUAACAAAAUAUUCCAAGUUGCCACAUAACCGCGGGCACGGCUUUCCGAAAGAUUAAACCCUGCAGGGGUGCUCUAACUAGUCCAUCACAAACGAACACAGGCCGCAAAGGCAUCCUGUAUCACGAAUCUCGUGAUCUCGUCGGAUUCCUUAGCGGAAAACCUCAACUCUGGGGGGAAACCAAAGCUUCACUGGGAUUCCUAUACACAAGAUAUACCGCUUAGGUAAGGCAAGGCUAGCAGGACCUCCCGACGUGUCGACGACCCCGAUAAGAGCCACGUAUCUCAGUCUCAGGACACGCCGGAUGGAACUAGCUACAGGUACCAAACCUCAAGUUUCCUUGUGGUGGCCCCGCAGGCAGACCAGUUUGGACCAACACUCAUGAGGAGCACUGGCCCGGGUUGUAGAUUAAAGAUCCUCGGGGUAGCUAUUCCCUAUGUAGAUUAUUAUGUGAUUAGCAGAUUAAAACCAAAGUUGGGUCCUACCGGACAAGCCUUAGCACUACGCGAUUUAUCAAGGGGGUCCCCAUAACAACCCUGAACGUGUUAGGAGCGAUCAUUAUGGAAUCAAACACCGGUAACCAGUAACUAAGGCGGCAAUAACGGAACAAAGAACCCGGCAAAAGGCUAGGCCUCCCGUCAUUUACCAAGUAUAUAGGUGCAUUAAAUAAAUAACAUAAUUUAAUAUAAUGAUAUCAAGCUCAUGGCAUCACAUGAGUUUUUAAACACCUGCAACUAGCAAUGCUAACAUUAGUAGCUGAGCAAUCCUACUUAGCCACACAAGUUUGCUAGGAAGGAGAACGGUGUUUGGGCUCAUGGCAUAUGAAGAGGCAAUUUAAUUUCAGUGGUAGGCAGCGAGCAAUAUGACAUGGAAACGAAACUAACAUAACAAGUCUAGAGAUGGAAUCAAGGUCAUAUCAUCUUGCCUGUGAUAUACUCAGCUUGGAAUGGUUCUGGUUCGUCCUGCACGUACUCUCCUGACUCCACGUAUUCGUUCUCCGAUCCCGGUGCUACCCAACAUAAGAAUAACAGACAAUGAACAGCAGCACCACAAGAUGCAACAAUCACAUGAUGCAUGAGAUGAAAAUUGAGCAUGCACCACUAUUUCUAUCACUAGCACAAGCAAAAUAAACUACUGCAAGUUUCUGGACAGUACUGUACACUAAGAUAUUUUGACAUGCAUGAGAAUGACAUGAUCAGAUGCGGCUCGUGAAAACGGUGCAAAACCAUAUAAAGAACAUAGCAAACGGAGCUACGGAUCAAUGGGAAUCAACGGAACAAGAUAUGAAGCUCUACGUGGAAGAUUCAACACCACACUCACAAAUGGCACAAAUCUGGUAUUCCCAGGUUGCCAAGACCUGUAUCAUUCCAACAUGAAUGAAUUUGAGCAAGGAAGAACACCACAACAUCAAUUAAGCACACACAUUGAUCAAAAUGACAAAACUACCUAUUCUGUCAUAAUCUGCAUCUUAGCUAUUUGGGAGCUACAUGCAACAUAGCUACAGGCCUCCAACCAUGACAAAUAAUAUAUGUGGCUGUUGCCAACCAAGAUCACUACAAUCACCAGCAAGAUUCACCGCAAAACGAAUUAAACUCUAGAAGAUACAAGGCCACAAACUUUCCCAAAACCAUCAGAUCUCAGGGACUUUGUGAAAAUUCCUGCACCUGAGUUUCUGUCUCUGUCCCGAAGCCUUUUGACAGAAAUCAAAACACAACCUACUGCACUCCAAAUGACUUGAAAUUUGACAGGGAGCUUCACAAACAUGCCAGGUUCAAAAUCCUAGCACUGAACUAGGGCUAGUUCUCAACAGAAUGACCAGUAUAUCCUCAUCUAUAGGGGACGAAAAUGUUUCCAGAAUCCCAGACUUGGUGAAAUUCCAGAUUUCACUAAACUGGAAAUUUUCAGCCACAUGCCCACUUUGUCUAGGCAUAGUUUGCACACACAUUACACCAAGUGAUAAUUGACACCACUAUAGUGUAGAGCAAAACCCCUACUACUAACACACAAGAACUCAUGCCCUUGGGCUCCACCUAUUCCAUGGAAUCAAGGCUCAAACUUGCAACAAAUCUGAAUAUGCAACUCCGUAAAGUACCCUACUAGGACAACAACUACAAGGGUUGGGUUCAUGUGCACAAUGACAAAGUGACAUGGGGGUUUGAACCCCAUGUUUGUGUCAUGCACAUCAACAACACCAACACAUCUACCAAACUAUCCCCACACACAAACACCAUGCCCUCUCACAUAUAGACAUGUGAAGGUGCAUAAUUUUGCAAAGGUGGGGAAGUUUCACACACACACACAUACUCCACAUCAUUCACCACAACAUCAACUCCUAAAACCAAGAACAACAUAAGGGGGAUAACUACUAAGCAAGUAACUUGGAAGCAUCACCUCUCAAGCAUCUUUAGUAGGAACCACAAGUGGUGUGCACUCCCAACAAACACAAUUCCAUGCCUACACUAUCAACUACACUUACAACCCCUAUGCACCCAUGCCUAUUUGCAAUCACACCAUCAACAUAAACUAACCACAUGCACACAUAUAUCACUUAAGCCACGAACAUCAACUAACUCUAUACUAGUGUGCAAAACACACACACAAUAUAAUCUGCACCCAUCUACACUAGCAGGGGGAAAAAAUACAUAGGACACCUUGAUGUCUAUGCAUAAGAAAGAGGAAGAACAAAAUAAAAGGACAGCAAAAAAAACAAAAAUAUGCAUCAGGCUCCUCGGAAUCGAACCCAAUACCUCCUGGUACACCACACUGCAUUCUACCACUCUUCUGCUGGCAUUGUUUUGACAGAGAGAGAGAGGAAUAGUGCAGGUUAACCCCUCCCUGCUGCUGCUACUGCUAUCAACCAGAGAAAGAAAACCCAAAAAGGAAGGAGGUGCACCACUUGGGACUCGAUCCCUGCACCUCUUGGUAAAUCACGGGGCUCUCUACCACUGCGCUACGAAUGGCUACUGAACUAAUACGCGCAAGAAAAUAGAUGAAGGGUCUCUCCCGUGCUUAUCUGCUACUUGAUCUACCGUGCUCGCCUGAGACAGAGACGACAACAUAGACCAGACUGCCCACGCCCAACGUCGACGGGGAAAAGUUCCCUGGCCGCGGCGCUGCUAGCACGAGGGGGGAGGAAGCCCCCUCUGCGCAACACACCCACAUGCACUACCUCAUGCAGAUCCUACCACUACCACAGCUACCUGCUACUACUGCUGCUCGAACAGAGAGCACGCACGCGCCACAGGCCGGAUCCGGGCUGAGCUACGGAGGAGAAAGGAAGGGGGAGGUGCAGCCUCACAUUGGGAAGGAAGGGGGGGUCCCGAUCUGACGGGGAGGAAGCCGGACCGGAGGGGAAGAAGGCGUGCCGAGGUAGAUCCUGCCAUAGACCAAAGUAGAGGAGGCAGAACACCAGGUUCGCGCCGUUGACGAGGACGAGCUCGACGGUGGGGUCGCUCCCCGGGGCUUCUAGCGCCGGGAAUGGGUCGCGGGGAACCACCCCGAGCCCCCGGACAUGGCGGCCUUGCCGCUCGACGGUGCACGCAGGGUUAGACAUGGCGUGGAGCUCUCUGUUCUCUCUGCUACCCUACAGAAACUUACCAGGAAAGGAGGGAGAAGAGAGAUGGAGGGGGAGAAGAGAGGUGGCGGCAGCGGGAUAGGGAAGGAGAGGAACCCUAGGCCGAGGGGAAGGCUCGGACGCCCAACUUAUAUGGGGGGGGACCUCGACGUCUGUGCACGGCAUCAACUUCCUCUCUCUCUCGUUCUGACGGAAAGGUGCAGCGAGGGGGACGGCGUUUGCAGGUGGAGGAGGGAGGCUGCGGGCUGAGGGGAAGAGAGAAGUGGGCCGACCUGUGGUUAGAAUCCCACAGGGUGGCACCAGAUAAGGGAGAGGAACUCCCCUAGCUCUUUCCAUUUACAGGAAACAAAUAAAUGACAGGGAGAAAACAAAAGCACAAGGAAAAAAAAUACAAGUGCUAAAAAUUAAAAUAGCACUUGUUCUGGACAUGUAAAAACAAGACUUAUGUAAUAAAAAUGAGAACAAGAAUUUAGGAGCAAGCAUUUAUUUAACAAAACACCCAUGGUAGGGGCUGUUUGUAGUUGCUUACCCCUUUUAAACCCCUGAUCAAAAUCAGCAAAUCACACAUCUCAUCCACCAUAAUUCUAAGCUAACACAUGAGCAUUUUCAAAAGAGGAAAGGAAGAAGAGAAUCUUGACAUAGGGGAAAUAGAGAGAGGGGUGAUGAUGAUUUUUGAAACCUAAGCAUAUACUAUCACAUGCAUCACCUCACACAAACUAUAUAUCACAUGCACACAACACAAGGCAACACAUGGAAUCAUAAGAGCACAUUGCAACAACAAGAACCCAUGGCAUGAAAUAACAUGGUAUGCAUGCAUGCAAGGGAGAGACAUUAAUAAGGUGACAACACAUGAAAUCAUGGCUCAAAAUGACAUCAUCAUAACCAUGACAAAGUGGACCCACUUGCAAUAGGUUCCAAAUAGGGAAGGUUUACACUUGGGGCAUUACAAACUCUCCCACACUACAAAGAAGAUCUCGCCCUCGAGAUCUAAGACUGAAAGAAAUCGGGAAAUUCGGAACGGAGGUGAUCCUCGCGUUCCCACGUUGCCUCUUUAUCGGAGUGGUGUGACCACUGCACUUUGAGAAACUUGACAGACUUGUUGCGAGUCUUGCGCUCAGUCGCCUCGAGAACCGCAACUGGAUGCUCACGAUAAGAAAGGUCAGGCUGAAGAUCGAUAUCUUGAAGAUGCACAGUGCGCUCGGGGUUCUUGAAACACCUCCGAAGCUGCGAAACAUGGAACACAUCAUGGACAUUUGCAAAGGUUGACGGAAGCUCGAGCUGGUACGCGAGGUCGCCCCUCUUGCCAACCACUCUGAACGGACCAACGAAACGAGGCGCAAGCUUGCCUUUGAUGCCAAAACGCUGCAUACCCUUCAUAGGUGACACCUUGAGAUAGACAAAAUCAUCAAGCUCAUACGACAUGUCACGGUGCUUGCUAUCGUAAUAGCUCUUCUCACGGGUAGCUGCUCUGAGGUUGUCGCGAAUGAUCCGACACAUCUCCUCAGCUUCUUCUAUCAUAUCAUUGCCAAGGAUCUGACGCUCGCCUGUCUGGGACCAGUUGAGCAGAGUACGACACUUCCUGCCAUAGAGAAUUUCAAACGGAGCCUUGCCAGAACUAGCUUGAUAACUGUUGUUAUACGAGAACUCCGCGAAAGGCAGACAAUCUUCCCACUUCAUGCCGAAAGAGAUAACACAGGCUCUCAGCAUAUCCUCUAGAACUUGAUUCACUCUCUCCACUUGACCUCUAGUCUGAGGAUGGAACGCUGUGCUGAAGCGGAUCUUCGUGCCCAUAGCAGACUGAAAGGAGUCCCAGAACUUGGAAGUGAAGAUACUUCCGCGAUCUGAUGAGAUCAUCAUAGGUACACCGUGCAAAGAGACAAUCCUGGAGGUGUACAAUUCUGCCAGCUGAGCUGCUGAAAUGGACUCCUUGACUGUAAGGAAAUGCGCCACUUUACUCAAUUUGUCGAUGACGACGAAGAUAGCGUCAUUGCCCUUCUUAGACUUCGGAAACCCGGUGACGAAGUCCAUCUCAAUGUGAUCGAACUUCCACUCGGGAAUUGGCAAAGGCUGCAAGAGGCCCGCUGGUCUUUGAUGUUCUGCUUUCACCCUUCGACAUACAUCACACUCGUUUACGAAUUGUGCAAUUUCACGUUUCAUACGGGUCCACCAGAAAGUCUGCUUCAAGUCGUGGUACAUUUUGGAACUUCCAGGAUGAAUAGAGAGCAGAGAGUUAUGAGCUUCUUCCAUGAUCACCUUCCUGAGAUCACCUUUCGGGACGACAAGGCGGUCCUCGAAAAACAAAGUGUCCCUGGCAUCAACAGUGAAACACUUAUACUUGGGAAGACUCUUUCCCACACCAAUCUUGACCUUCUUCACCAUAGCGUCAAGUAGUUGAGCUGCUCUGACCUGAUCUUCCAAGGUAGGAGCGAUGUGAAGGUUCGCAAGAAAACCCUGAGGAACCAGCUGAAGAUUGAGCUUCCUGAAAGACUCAGAAAGACCCGACUGGAGAGGUUGCAGAAUCAAACUGUUGCAAUAUGCCUUCCUGCUCAAUGCAUCUGCCACAACAUUUGCCUUGCCUAACGUGUACUCCACACUUGGAUUAAAAUCCUGGAGCAUUUCCACCCAACGUGUUUGCCGAAGAUUCAAGUUAGGCUGAGUGAAGAUAUACUUGAGGCUCUUGUGAUCGGUGAAAACUUCAACCUUACGUUCCAACAAGAGAUGUCUCCAAGUCAUCAAGGCGUGCACAACAGCUGCUAGCUCGAGAUCGUGCACAGGAUAGUUCUUCUCCGCAGGCUUCAGCUGCCUGGAGGUAUAAGCAACCACCUUCCUAUCUUGCAUCAAGACUGCACCGAAACCCUGGAGAGAAGCAUCGCAAAAGACCUGGUACGGCUUGGAAUCAUCGGAGGAGCCAAUACCAGCGUGGAGAUAAGCUUCUCUUUGAGUGUAUCGAAAGCCAGUUGACACUCUGGAGACCAAACAUACUUGACACUCUUCUGAAGAAGACUAGAGAGCGGCUUGGCGAUUUUGGAGAAGUUCUCAACGAAUCUUCUGCAAUAUCCGGCAAGACCGAGAAAGCUUCGAAGCUGCUUCACAUUCUGCGGAGGUUCCCAUUCAACAAUGGCUUGAACCUUGGACGGGUCAA